UCCUAUAUUCGUUUUCUGGGCUCCCGUAUUCGUUCUCUGAGUCUUUCUCUCGAGUCUAUAUUCGUCCUCUAGGGUCCUAUAUCUAAAUUUAACAAUUCCUGAACCAUUUUUAUCUUUUUUGUAUCGUGGGUCGUCAAAAUAAGCAACUAUAGUAUUUCUACGUAAAACACCCAUAAAGGGUAUUUCAAUCGAAAUCCCAAAACAGGAUAUUGGUUCUUUCUCUUGUUCUUGAUGAUACUAUAAUGGAAUGGCGAACCUAUUUCUUCGCUUUUUUGCUAACAAAUCCAAAUUAUUUUGAAGAAUAGAAGGAUAGACAAAAUUCCAAUGACCAUUGGACAUGAUUCGAUCCGGCAUUGAAUAAUCAAGAAUUUCCCUAUCUUUUUUACCAAAAGUAUCCAACAGUCUAUGUCUUACCUCAUCAUCAGCCAUCGAGAGGCCAAAGAUAUACCUUCCGUCAACAGAAAAGGAAUAAGUAUUCAUUUGAUCUUGAUCCUUGUGGAGUGAAAAAGAAGCUAUUACUAAACAACGACAAAAUUUUUUAUUUGAGCUAUAUCCUGCCAUAAGAAGACCAAUAGGAGCAAUACUUGAAAUGGCAAUCCAUAAAAAAACACCAAUACUAAGAUCCGCUAAAACAAAGCGAUAUCCCAAAGGAAUAACUAAAAAACUUAAUAAAAUUGAUAUGACUGCUAUAGACGGUCCAAUGCUAAAUAAGGGAAUAUCCCCUCGGGAUGGCAAGAUAUCCUCUUUAAAAAGUAGCUUAGUUCCAUCUGCUAUAGCUUGAAGCAGUCCCAGGGGGCCAGCAUAUUCAGGACCAAUACAUUGUUGUAUCGAUGCGGAUAUUUCUCUUUCUAACCACACAAUUACGAGUACUUCUAUUGUGAUUCCCAGUAAGAGGGUCAAAAUGGGUAGAAUCCAUAUCAGUCCAUAGACUUCUUUUAAUAAUUCCAAGUUCGAAAAAGAAUUGAUAGCUUCUACCUGUACCCUGUCUAUUAUCAUUUCAACGAUCAACUUCUCCCAUAAAAGGAACGUCCGCUCUCACAAUUCCCUCUUCAUCUACCAAAACAACCGGAAAUGUUUCAAAAAAAAGUAGGCAUACGGCGUACAAAAAGUUCGCGCCCUUCUUUAUCUCUAAAGAUAGGAUGUCCUAACCAUCCAACAGCUAUUCCAUCCCCAUUGUCCAUUGAGCCUGCUCUGAAUAAUCCCCCCUUUGUGGGCCUACAGCGGUUGAAUCCACCUACCUAUGAAGUCGGCAGCGACUUCGUACCCCGACAACCCCCGUUCUCGGAGAUUAUCGAUGAUGUCGAUAAAAGACGGGAGUUAGGGCGGGUUUGGCGGCCUACUCCGGGAUUUUUUCUGGCUGACCUUCAGGGACAACAAGGACGGGAUCCGAGUUCUCUAUUUGAAGGUAGAACCAUCUCGUCCACCACUUGCUGCGAGAAGAGGGGCACUGGAAGGGGAUGUAACGCGACUUCAAGCUAUCCCGAAGUCAGAAUCCAACACAUCCAGAUACCCUGCUAGAUUCCAUCAAGCAGCUCAUAGUAAAAACAGAAGAGGUCAAGAAAGGGCUCUACCCCAAUGUAGGCCUCGCAAAGGUGAGAGAAGGCACUCAGAAAGGCGAUAGAGUUGGGGUUCAAGUGGAGCAAAGAAAGGCCAUAGAAAUUCAGGACAAGAAGAAGAAACUUGGAAGGCGGAGGAAGAAAACCGCAAGAAAUGUAAUCCUCGACUACAACCAUGCGGCCCAAGAUGGGUUUAGGUUCUUUACCUCAUGCCUCCCUCUGCAUGGUCCUGCGACCAGGGAGGGCACCGUCGUCUUGCAGCUUCUUCAAGGACGCGGUGGUUGAGGUAGACUUCUCAAGAUCCAUCGCCGCCAGAGGAUCGCCGGAGAACAAGAGGAAAGAAGGAAGCUAGGGUUUUCUUUGCAGAGAGCGGAGAAGACGAAGGGCGCUAGAAGGCAAGAGUGUUUUCUGGCAAACGGACUUUAAAUGAAUUCCCAAAAUCCCUUCAAAUAAGCGCACUACCGACGGCGCGUAUUCCAAGGAAAGGAGAGAGUUUGCCGCCGGAAAAUUCUGGGUCCGUUGCGCGCGGUAGUUUUCAGACUUCAAUUUAAAUUCACUCAUGACCGUUGAACUUCACGCGGUGUUGUCGAUGGCUUUUGUCUCUACGGUUUUCACACCGAGAUCGACCAGAUGAGAGCGACAACAAUUCCGACAUCAGAAGUCGUGAUCGAUAACAUGAGUUCAUUUAAGCAGAAGUCGGGGGCUACUGUCAGGGUUACGGAUAAGGUAUACCCUCUAUCCUUGGAUGUUCGUUGUAUACUGACACGGUGUACCCACGCGUAUACGGAUAGUUUCCGUAUACAUUAAGGAAAUAUGUCACGUGGUAGAUAUGGUAUCUAUAGACGGAAGAAGUUCUACUCGGAUAAUACUGGGUCUUUUCCAUAUCGCGAGGGGUCCGAUAUCUCCGAGUCCCACCUGGAGAUCAACUGGCCCGCGGUAUAUAAGGGACCCCCCGGGUAGGACCUAAGGCAUCGAAUAUUACCGCCUACACAUCCACCACAGCCUACGAAGUCGGAGCCUACAGGAGCCAAGUCGCCGGAAGAUCUAGUCGAACCAACUCAACUACGGUCUCAUCGGUAUCAUUAAGUUCUGUUAUUCCCUUUGUAAUCUGUGGUUUCCAUCAUAUAAUCCCAUAUCAACUGGAUUAGGGCUAUUACCUACUAAGGGGCCUAAACUAGUAUGACCCUUGUCUUUUGUUUGCUUGAUAUCGUACUAUGUAGAUCCUCGUACCAACGAACCCCAAUACCCUCUAUAUCCGGUCUACGGGUAUCCCCCGUCGACAAUGUGUAUGACUGCCUUUCAUUAUAUUGAGCUUUACCAAAUUAUAGUGACUCGUGUUAGAUGUCUCUCAUGCUCUCUCAAUCAAGGUUGCACAACCAUUAUGCUAAGUUUCUACUCUGGAACUUAGCAUCAUUUCAUCCAUUUCCACUACCACCGAAAAAAGAAAAAUAUAGUUGAUGAAUAAAUUCUCCAUUUAGUUUAUGCCUUCUUCUCCUAAGAAAAAUCCUUGAAAAAGAAAAAUAAAAGUAGGGAAAGGCGUGGCUAUAAAAAAUAUAAUACUUUUCUAAAAUGUGGAGCAAUUUGAAAAAAAAAAACAGAGAGAAAAAGAAAAAAAAUAGCCAUGCCCCCUCUACAAUUAUAAAGGAGAAAACUGGAGAAGAAUGUAUAGACAAAGGAGAAGCAUUUUCUUUAUUUCCGAUCUUUUCUACACAUAUCAUACACUUUCCACCCAAAAAAUUAUGCAAUCCUUGAUCCGAGAGUAUGAUCGAUUAUCUUCUUGAGUCCAUAUAUUUGGUUUUGCAAUAUAUAUGAUGCAUGUAUGUCCCGAGUUAUCCCUAGCAAACUCCACAUAUACAGCCUUUAGAUUAGGGAAUAAUUUCGGCAGCAUAUGCCUUGGUGAGGAUGCACAAACAGCACAAAAUAUUUGAGUGAUCGAGGAUGAGUCAUUAUGAGGAGAUAAAGCUGAUUUGCGAAAAUUUAUAAAACCCCAAAAGUCUGAGAUGGAGUUUGAGAAGGACCAGAUUCAAGACUAUUCCUUCUUUCAAUCGCCCAAGAUGGUAAGUUAGCCACCGAUGAAGUUCAUAGGUAUGAGACUGGUCUUGAAUAAAUUAUGUGCUUGUACUAUAUCUCGGAGAAUUUUAUUCUCAACUUUAGCUCUAACCUUUAUUCGGGACGAGUAAAGAGCUAAGUGUGGGGGGUUUGUUGGUGGCUGUUAAUGACAAAUUUUAUGCCGCCAAUACCUGCAUAAAUCAAAGAAAUAAAACGUCCAACAUAGUAAUAGGGUUUAAUUCUAACAUAUUCCACAAGUGUUGGUGUAUAUUUGAAUGCAGAUAAUAAACCACCAAAGUUGGAUGGAAUAUAGACUUAAGUGAAGGAGAAUUCCUAUCCAUAUAAUGAGUGGGCCAGAAACUACGAGAAAACAUCUUCAAAUGGGCCUUCCACUCGUAGAAAUGGAGGAGCAACAGGCCAAAGUUGAAGCCUGUUGGGCCAGCCAUGGGUUUGGCCGAACCACCCCUGCAGCCGUCCGAUCAAGGGUUUUGCGUGGACGGUCUGGAUAAGCUCCUGAAUGGCGGUUGUUGGGCAAAAUGGACUUUUCGCGUUCUAUGACCGUCAUGCCUGCCCCUAUAUAAAGACCUCGCCUCUUCACUUCACACACACUCCAAGCUUGAGCUGAAUUAUAAGAGGCUCUAUUAUAUUAUAUUGUAUACUAGAAUAGGAAAAGAGUAGAGUAGAAGAAGUCGGAGGAAUUCCGGAGUUGUCGGUAAUCCUCUCCCUCUUUAUUCCUACUCUAUUAAUUACUCUGAUUAUAAUAGAGUUAUCUUUUGAGCAAUUUAGUUUUGCUCGGUGAGAAUUAUCUCUUAGUUAGUUCCUAUUUAGAGUGCUGGAUCGUCGUUCACAAUAAUCAAAUAAAAUAUAGUGAUUGCUUUAGUGUGUAGCUAACAUUAAAGUAAGUAAUUAAUCUGCUUAGGUGUGGUGUCUAGGUAAAGGUGGUGACAGCCCUCAAGACACUGAAGUCCUCCCUGUCCGGGUGCGCAGUAGAGCGAUAUCUGGGAGUAGGGAGCUGGCUAGUGCCUGAAGUACCUCAUUAGGAUUAAAGUUAAGCGCCGGCUAAAGUUUACAUCGACUACCAUCUGUAUCGGCUAAUACCGAAUCGGUUAGGGAGAAGUCGAUGGAGCCGAUUUCGGCAAGAUGAUUCUAGAAUCAUUGUCGGGAUUGACUGGGGUGUUGCACAAGUAUUGCCAAGCAUGGAUUGAGUCCGAGGAAGGCAAUUGUUAUCUAUUAGGAUAUUUUAGUAGUUUCUUUAUAGAUAUUUUCAGUAAGAGUCCGCCUAAGAGUUGUAAUAGAAGUGGAGUCGUGUCCGGCAAGGACACAUUAUGUAUUUUGGGUAUAAAUAUGACCCGAUACCUUGUAAACAAUUAACUUUAGUUCAAUAACACUUUCAGCGUAUCACCACCCUUUUCUAUUUUCAUUGUUUCGACGAGUUGUUGCUUUCGAGUUGGGCUGCAUCGGGUUCGAUCUCCGACGAAAAGUUAAAGCUUGUUAUGGCGGUUUGCAUUCUUGGGAUUAAUGCUUACAUCUUUAUGGCACUCUAAUCAUGUCUUUGUAAAUUGUCGAGUUAUCAUAUAUACUAUAUAAUCUAGACCGAUCUUGCUAUCUAACAUCAUCGGCUAGCCUCUAUCAUCGAAAACAGCCAAUAGGAUUAGAUACUGAUAAUUGAAUUAAAUUAUAUAGUAUAUCUACCAUCUCAAGAAGACUCUCAAUGACUUGUUUAGUUCUUAUGUUUCUCUUUAUACUUAAUGCUGUAUCAGUUAAGUUAAUUUGAUCUACUAAGUAAUAUCUAGAACCAUAAUAUUGUUAACGGUGAAAUUUGGUAAGCCCCUAUGAGAAUUAUCACGUCGCCAAUAGUCGGAUUCCUGCUAUAAUCGGUUAAGGAAAUUAAUCUAUUAAAUGAAGCUUAUCCAAAUGUGACCGAAUUCAAGAGGGAUGCAGCAUGACAAGUUAUCUAUUAAUUAGGAAUAGUUUGUUUGUUUACUUUUAUCUUUAGGAAAGUGUGUUUAUGUCCUAUAAGGACUUUAUGUUUUCCUUUUCUCUUAAGAAAAUUUUUUUUCUUGUCCUACAAGGACUAGUAUCUACCCAUGGGUAUAAAUAUGUACACCCGGGGUCAUUGUAAAAUAUCUCUCGAUGAAUACUACUCUCUACGCAUCGCCACCCUCUUUCCCGAAGUUUUUACUUAUCAUCUGGCGGAAUUCGGCACCUAGGAAGGGGUAAGUUCGAUCUCCGACGAAGGGGUAAGUCCUACGUUCCGCCGGCCCUCGUAUAUCUAUCGACUACGUUGGUGUUGUUCAAGGCUGCAUCGCUUCAAUCUCUUGGAUCGCUCUGGUUUGGUUGAUAUAUUUGCCUACCUGAUAUCUCAAUUCUAUCUCUAAUUGCAUUGUGUUUAGAGACGCAUCGGUUUAGUUGGGACUGUCUCGGUUAGGUCUGAUCUUCUGUCCUAGCCGAUAUAUCUCUAUAAUCACAAUGUUGUUCUAGAUAGAUUUGUUAUAUCUAUCACAUUAGACAGAUCUAUCGGCUCAUCGAGUAUUAGACUAUCAUAUACAAUCUCGUGCAGCAUCGGUUAGGUUCUACCUUCUAGAUUGUUGUUGAUAAUAUAAAUCUUGUUAAGGCGAUAGGUUCACGCUAAUGUUUUAUUGGGGUGCUAGCUGAUAAAUUAUCUAGACAUCGCAUCGUCUUACAAGGAUUACAUACAAGUUGGAUUUAGCCGAUUGCAACAAAGGUUUCACUGUUUAUCUAAUCGUUUGGAUUUUAUGGCAUCGGACCUUCAGUCGAUGUAUACUUUAACCUUCGAAUUUGUACAUAUCCUAUCAUAUUAUUAUUAGACGAUUGGUAUCUAUUGGAUUAUAUUAUUACUACAUUUUAUUGUCAUCAGCCGAUUUAGCCGAUUGCUCAAAACCCUAUCGGCAUCGGGCUGGCAUCGGCUAAUAUCGGCUAUCGGCUAGAAUUACUCCAUCGGCUUGACAGCCGAUUGGCUAUUUGAUCUGUUGUUUACAUAUCUUGCUAGUUGCAGGAUCAAACUAGCUGGCACGCUCGCAUAUCAUCAACCUUUGGACCUGCACUGGAGCUAAGCAGAUCUCCCUGGCCAGUGUGUGUUUUUCAUAUCAACAAAUAUCUAGCUUGUUGUCGUAAGCUCUCCGGACCACUCAUUAUAUUUGAAGGAUGAACUAAAUAAUUCAAGUCAUCAAACAAACAUAAUGAAAUAUCCGACACCUAGAGAGAAAAAUAUUGGAGACAUUGCUGGGUCUUUAGCCUGCCAGUCAACUUCAGCCUGAGAUGUGCCGUCAAAUCACUCAAAGGCGGCGACCAAAUGUGUUACACAUUCAGGAGACUUGACAAAAUGACUAAAGAUCAACAACAUCUCAAAUAUUUUUAACUCAUACUCAUGUGAAUUCUAGUUCCCAGGAUGUGCACUAGAUUCACACUUUCAUCUUAAGCAUGGAGAUACAUAGCAAAAUAAUUUGAAAUUACAAUUAUUAAUAGUUACAAGGGCCAACUGGCCAAAUAUAAUUAUAUCAGAUAACAGCGGAAGCUUGACUACCCAAACACAAGAACAGACUAGGGGUUUACCCCAUUAAGUUCAAAUCCUAGAAGAAGCAAUCGAAACCCGCAUCACUCAAAUUAAACUAAGUCUAUUCCCUGCAAAACAUAAAUUAGACAAAAUAUGGCAUGACUCAAUACAUUAAUCAAAUUAAUGUACUGGCAAGAGCACUAUCAAACCUACAUACAUGAAAGCUCUAAGUCAAAUGAAGGCUUUUUGUGAUCUCAAUUUUUAGCAUAAAGCAAAUUUUAGUUCACAAACCAUUUGCAACGUAAUUUAAGCAAAACAUGUUAGUAAAAUGUAAAGCAUAACAAUCAUGGCAUGGUCAACAUAAGUAGAUAGACAUCAUUCCCUUAAAACUCAAUGGGAAGUAAGGCAAUCAUAUCAUAUAUACCAAUCUCAUCAUCAUCUCAAAAAAUUUAGUUUCAAAAGCAUUUAGAAAACACAAGAUUAUACCCAUAGCACAUCAUCAUGUCGCUCAUGACUGUGAGCAUGGCUAAUCGAUUAGUUUUUAGAACUCUGCAGAGUUUGUACAGCUUUACCUACAUGAUAUGAACACUCUAGUUUGACUUGUGCUGGCCAAAGCACUACCACACUCUACACAUUGAGUGCGUUUUAGAGCUCAUAACAAGGCUUUUACAUUAAGCGUUGUCUAACCUUGCAUGAGCACGAUACGUGUUCCUCCAUCCUAGGCCAUAUACGUUAUAUGACCUAGAACCAUUAAGUGGCGGGCUCACGCCUUAAACAUAACACCGAGGUGGCGAACACAACGCGAACCCUCCACGUGGCACAAUAUCGUUGUAUUGGACAGACUUAGACGCCCAUGCUGUAAGGCGGAACAUUACACUCGUCCCCUCACGGAAAUCACACACUUAGGAACAGUACACUCGUCCUAAAAUUCAACACACACAUGGGUAGUUCCUCUAGGUAGCCCAUAGUAUACUCGUGGCCCCUACCUAUACUACAACGGCCUCCCGAAUGCAAGAUUAGGCAAAUACUUAACUUAAUAGGCCAAGGUUCCCCCAUCAAAACGCAUGUGGAUGUACGGUAAACAUAAUGGAUGAUAUGAAGUUUGGUCCUUAAUCGACUUAGGCGAACACUCCCCCUAUUGGUAUGCAACUACUAUCAUAUUGACAAACCCUGAGUUCCACUCGACACUCAAGGUUGUUGUUGGCCCUAUCUUUCGGUGAGUUGAGAUAACUACGAUUUGGGAGAAACAUUGACGACCUGACAAUAACCAUACAAGACGUUACGUUGCGCCUUAGCGAUCGAUACACCUCUCCGUGGGUUGUUGAUCUUGCCGGUGCAAAUCAAGCCUAAUCCUGCAAGCAAAUCGAAGAAACAAGCAAGAACAAGAUAAAAGCAAUCUGAUAUUACAAAUAGGAAUUGAAUACAAAUGAUAAGUUGGGGUUCCGAAGAACAAGUAGACUGACGGUGUAGCCAACACGCGCGCUGCAAGCAAGUAGCAAUGGCAAAACUUUAAUCUAACAAAACCCGAGAAACCCUGAAGGGGUACCUUGUAAUUUAAAGAGGUGGGAGGACGACCAAGAGGCUCCUAGGGUCGUGCUCCACUAGAUUGGGGAGCACCCCACAUGGGCCUGGGUCCCAGACAAAGUUACAAGCCCAUAGACCCAUUACAGGUGUCGCACCACCUUGUUUCUUCAAUUGCUGCCGACCGAGAUGCAAUUUGGUAAUGAGGCUGGAUCCAUUGGAAAGAGGACUUCGAGAGCUUUCCAUCAAGUACUCACAGGCCAAAAACGGAGGUCGUACGCAGAUUUGGUGGCUGUUUGAAGUCAGUAGUGUAGCAGGUGGCCGAAUCGGAUUCCAGCACUUGGAGGACUUAAUCUUGAUAUCUUGUUGUUCAUCCAUGAUAUGAGCAAUGGUUGUAUCCGUAGUAGCCAUGGUCACAUCAUCCUCCCCUUCUUCAUGGAAAACUGUCAUCGGUUUUUCCAUAUGGUGCUCAUCGCGUGGUCGAUUUAAAACAACCUGUUUCAUCCAAUCAAAAGAAGAGAAACUCGAAGUAAUAUGAUUAGAAAUAACAUGUCUCUCUAGCUUGCAAAUUUUAUCCACAUGUACAGGAGGUACUAAAUCCGAACAUAUAUAACCUCUAUGCACCAAAUAUAUUUCUCUAUCAUUAUAUUCACCAAAGAUAUGAAAAAUAGCAUUAGUUGGACAGGGCAAAUAUUAUUUAGCAAAUAAUUUCUCCUUCAAACUAUCGAGCUCACAAAAAUCAUCACACUGAAUAUAGCCCAAAGUAUUUAAAGAAGAUGUCAAUUUACGUUCCACUACUUCAUUAGAACUGACAUUAGAAAUAGCAUGUUCAUUCACUAGUUGUGGCACGAAUAUAAGUGAAACAUUAUCACACAACUCUUCUUUAUCACAAGGAACAGCCAGUAAAUCAACUUGUGACAAAGGCAUUUCAACAAUUGGUUCCAAUAAUGGUUGCUCUACUAUAGCAUGAAAAGUAGACAUAUUCAAUUCAUUAACGGCACACUCACCUUGAUUAAUUACGGCACCAUUUAGAUUACCUGUGAUUCGCUCUUCUGAUGACGGAGGUGCAUCGAAUUUGAGUGUGAACAAUGGGAACGACGGCUUUUUCAUGUCUCUCUCUUCUUUUCCGUGAUUAUGCACUUCUUGCAAAUAGUUAGUAAUAGGAGGCAAAAAGAUAUCGUGUUGCUUUUUCAUGUCCUCCUCUAGUUUACUUUCAGCAUUGCAAGCAAGUUGUAACAAAUGAGAAAGAGUUCUAUAUCUUUGACAAGCCAGCAUAUCCUGAAUUUUUUUUAAGCCCACGUAAAAACCUCGAUUCUAUAACUUCUUCGCAUUCAUCUCAACCACAACGUAAUAAACAAGCAUCCAUAUCAUGAUAGUAUGAAGUAACAGUUCUAUUAUCUUGUUUUAAACAUUCCAGUUUAUUGAGCAAAAUGUCAGCAUAAUACAUGGGAACAUAAACAUCUCUCAUAUAUCGUUUCAGGUCUUUACAAGAUUGUGGUAUUUUAUUAUGCCUACAAAGAUGUUUCCAAUCAUUAGAAGCUUGAUUAAUUAAAACACUAGAGGCAUACAUAACCAUAUGUUUCUCAGACAAUUCAUGCUUCCUAAAUUCUCUAUCAACCGCUAGCUCCCAAUCAAUGUAAGCACGAGGAUCAUAAUUUCCUUCAAAAUAAGGUAGUGCAGAUUUGAUCUUACCUAGAACAACAUCACUUACCUCAUAUUGGUCAUGUUGAUCAUUCCUCAUCACUCGACGAAGAUGUUCAUGUUCAGCACAAUUAUCCCAAGUUUUCUUGCGUAUCCCUGCCAUUGUUAGUAGAAAGCAAGAAACAUACACAAAAAUAUACAUGUUCCUAUUAAACUACUAGGUAGUGGAAGCUUAAAUAUCACACACACUCAAACAUUUAACCAAGCUCUUACAAGAUCUUACCAAUGCAAGCAGAAUGGUGGCGACAUACACCGACACAACCAAGCACCCCAAUGGAGGUUAGAUGUAUCGAUGCCUUGGCAAACACUUGCUGUACGGCUGCAAUCAAAUCUGUGGAGCUCGGGGUAGGCUUAAAUAUGUAGCAAAGGAAUAGCAAAUACUCAAAUCAGAGAAUGCAAAGUUGAAUAAAUCAACUACAGUGCUGGUCCUAGGCUAGAACGUACUAGAGACGCGAGCCUAGACACAAACGAUACCACAAGAUAACACCAGAAACAACUUAAGCACACUCUGAUAUAUGAAACCAAACUCAAAGAUACAACUGAUUUUUUUAGUUUGCCUUCUUUCUUUCUUUCUUUCUUUUUUUUUCUUUUCUUUCUUUCUUUCUUUUCUUUUUUUGGUGCGGCUUUUCUUUUUCUUUUUUUAUGCACCUUUCUGUCUUUUCUUCUCUCCUUUUUUCUGAUUUUUUUUAACAAAAACCGACUCAAGGACCCGGAUGCAACAUUAUAGGGAUUCAAAUGUAAAGAUAAAAUUACAGGGACUCAAAUGUAAAAGUCCGAACCUAAAAAUUGAAAUUAUACAAAAAAAAAAAUGGAAUGUUGAAUUUAUGCCAGUGCUGUUUAUGCAAACAGAUCUUGAAUCUGACACCGAAAAAAUUUUCAUCAAGGUGUGUAGCAACUCCGGUACAACCGUGAGGAGGUGGAAGGUACGGUGGUUAGAUGGAGUAGAUGGAUACGGCCGCAAUUAGAGUUCGGAUUUGGUGCAAUCUAAAAGGGAAACUGAUUUCCAGCCAAUCCAAUCUACUAUAUCUUUCCAAAACAAACUUGACUACUUCCAAAAUCAGAUUUGGUAAUUCACCUUCCUCCUCUCGUGCGCGACACAAGCACGGCCAAAAUAGAAACAUGGCCAAGCUGGCAAUCCCUAAUUGCAACUCAACAACUCCAAAACCGAUGAGUAGAAACUUUUGAAAACUACAAAAAUAGAACCUUGACGGAAAGACGAUUCCGUUUUCGUAGGUCCCGACGACAACAAAGAUGACGGCGGCAAGCGACGACAGUGGUAGUAGACCUGCCAAGAACUCGAAACUCUAAACGAACUAGACGCUAAGACCAGCAACUCAACGCAACGAUGCAACACAAAACUCAACAAAGCAAAAACUGAAAGAACAAUGAAAUGGCACAAAUAUAGCUAGGUACAGGAUGCAAUUUUUUUUGUAUGGCAAUUUUCCGGUUAUAGGUAGAUAAAAACUCACCGGGCAACGAAAGCUCUGAUACCACCUGAUGAACCCUGAGUUCCACUCGACACUUAUGGCUGUUGUUGGCCCGAUCUUUUGGUGAGUUGAGAUAACUACGAUUUGGGAGAAAAGUUGACGACCCGACUACAACCAUACAAGACGUUGCGUUGCGCUUUAGUGAUCGAUACACCUCUCCGUGGGUUGUUGAUCUUGCCGGUGCAAAUCAACCCUAUUCCUGCAAGCAAAUCGAAGAAACAAGAAAGAACAAGAUAAAAGCAAUCUGAUAUUGCAAAUAGUAAUUGAAUACAAAUGAUAAGAUGGGAUUCUGAAGAACAAGCAGACGGACGGUGUAGCCGACAUGCACGCUACAAGCAAGUAGCAAUGGUUAAACUUUAAUCUAACAAAACCCGAGAAACCCUGAAGGGGUACCUAGCAAUUUAAAGAGGUGGGAGGACGACCAAGAGGCUCCUAGGGUCGUGCUCCACUAGAUUGGGGUGCACCCCAGAUGGGCAUCACUUGGGCCGGCGUCCUAUAUGAAGUUACAAGCCCAUAGGCCCAUUACAGGUGUCGCACCAACUUGUUUCUUCAAUUGCUGCCGACUGAGAUGGAAUUUGGUAAUGAGGCUGGAUCCAUUGGAAAGAGGACUCCGAGAGCUUUCCAUCAAGUACUCACGGGGCAAAAACGGAGGUCGUAUACAGAUUCGGUGGCCGUUUGAAGUCAGCAGUGUAGCAGUUGUACGAAUCGGAUUCCAGCACUUGGAGGACUUGAUCUUGAUAUUUUGUUGUUCAUCCAUGAUGUGAGUGGUGGUUGUAUCCAUAGUAGCCAUGGUCACAUCACAUAUGCAUACCACUUCCCGCCCAAGUCUAAAAUCAUAUUUUAUCUCAUUUUAUUUCACAAAUAAUCAGAGAAUCACCUCUGUCCAUAAAGUUCAAAAGGGUUUUCAAAAGUAUAAUAAGUGAUCCAUAACCAUGUUUUUAUUUAUUACUAAGCUAGGCUAAGCAUUUGCAUUUUGUAAAAGUAUAGUAUACUUAUAUGAGCACAAUUAAAGUACUCUCAUAAAUCCUAAGGUUCAAAACAGCAAGGGGUGAUUUUCAAAAGGGGUUUCAUGCAUGUUUAUAAUCAAAAAUACACGUGCAGCUUUAUAAUCAAAGCAUUUAGCCCGAAAACAUAGGAUUCAAGGAAGGGCAAAACUUGCCUUAGAAUAUAUAUGACCUAACUGAGUUUAGCUAUAAUCCAUCUCCUUCACCGGUAACGAUUUCGCCGUCUAAAAGAAAUAAAAGUAACGAUAAAUACCAAAACAUGCAAUAAUUCAAAAUGCUCUAAAAUGCAUGAGUUUACUAGUGUGAUUAGGUGCUGUGUGGGUAAGAUUUGUGGUGAAGGAAUUUAUAUUUUAUCACUUUGCAUUUGGGAGUUAUUAAUUUUCAAAGUUUAAUACUAGCACUAGAUUAAUUAAGCUCUAAUAGUACAUAGAUGCAUUUUAGGUCUAAGUUUUAUGAAAUGCUGGGUUACUGCAGUGAAAAGGAUAUUCUCAGGAUUUCAACAAAAUUGGUUUCACAAUUUGUAGAGUUAGAAUGUUUUUAUUAUAAAUUUUACAAGCUAAGUGAUAUACUAUAGUAGUUAUUAGUUAUUUCGCAUUUUAGAUAUGUUUUGGGUACUGUAAGUGCUAUAUUUUAUUUUAUAAAAACUAAUGUCCAAGAUUUUGCUAAUCUAACAAAUCUGAAAUCACCUCAUUUGGAGUUGUAUUAAAUUUGAUAUGAAUUUUUAGAAGUUUCUUAAUAUUAAUUCAUUAUUCAAAUUUUAGUAAUGUUUUCGGAUAUGGAUUCUUCUAUAGAUUUGUUUACAGAACUAAUAUACAUUCUUUUAUCAAACUAAGAAAUUUUAGUUUGUCUCAAUUGGAGUUAAAACAAAUUACUUAUGGAUUUUGUAGUUUCUAGUUUGCACUAUACCAGUUAUUUUACUAAUUAAUUAUUUGGUGAUGUUUUUAUUACAGAAGGUAUUAAGUUUUAGUUCAUGAAAAUUAAGAGUAUGGUUUUAUGAGCACACUGGAACUUUGUUCACUCCAAAAUGAGUUAAAAUGAAGUUUAUAUGAAUUUUCUAAGUUUGAGCAAGCUUUAUGUGUGAUUUAUAUUAGAUGAAUUUUAGAGGCAAAAAUUGUACUACGUGUGCCAAGUUUUAGGUUUUUAUAUUAAAUUUCAUAUCUUUGUGAAUCUAUAGCAACUGGAAUUACCUCAAAAUUGUACUACAUGUGCCAAGUUUGUGCAUUUUUCUGUUAAACAUAUAUUUGUUUGGGUAUUUCUUUUAUUAUUUUCCAGAUUUUAAAAAAUGGGGUCCACUGGUGAGUGAGAGUAAAUAUGCAGAAAAGUCCCUGAGGUUUCUAGGAAUAUAGGCCGAAGUCCUUAUCACAUGUUUAAUACUAUCUUCAUAAAGAGUGCUCCAAGUUUUAUACUUUUACUAAUAGGUCCUGGGUCAACAUGUCAUGCAGAGAACAUUUAGAAAUAAAAUCCUACAAGAUUUAAACUCAUACUAAUCAAAUUCUUAGCACCCAAUGAAGUGGGUCCCGCUUGUCAGUGACACUAGGUGGAGGAGGACAGGGCUGUGGCGCCCCGGCGAGCUUCUCGCCGGCGCCGGCGACGAACGGUGGCCGUCCUCACGAUGCAGCCAAAAGAGAAAAUGUAGAGUGGAAGAUGGCGAAACUAAUGGCGGUGGUAUCGCGGGCUGUGGUGGCUGGAGUCAACGACGGCGGCAGCGCGAGCGGCGGUGUGCUUCGGGGUGAUGCGCCAUUUAGAGCUACGGCUCGAUUUGUGCCAAAUGUGUGCAUGCAUGUGCCUCUACGGGACUCCUGAAGACUCACUUGAGUCGCACGUACACCGACGAAGCUUGGACGACGACGGUGAACCGAGGAACGCUCCGGUGGCGGCGGAAAACGGCGGUACGACGGCGUCGGCUUCCUCCGGUCUUUGGGCUGCCAAGAAGAGAAGGGAAAUGGAUCAAAGAUCACCUAAGGAUGCUUCAUAUGCGAGGAAUAGCGCCGAAGCUCACCCGGGAGCGGGGAAUUGACGACGAUGGCCGGCGGCCGGACUUGGGGAAGAAGAGUUCGAUCUCCUCAACGGCGGCGUUUUAGCUCGAUCUUCUUUACGCGUCCUUCUCCAGGGACCUAGGCGACGUCGGUGGCGCAAUGGCUUGGUCAGCGGAGGCUCGAGUCGACCGGAACGGCGAAGUGGCCGACGGCGGCGCUCUGGACACUGAGAGCGGCGUCGAGCUUGGCACAAGGUGUUAAGAGACAUGAUUGAUCAGGUAGGGGAAUUGAAUCACAUUUCCAUGGUUGGAAUGCGGCGAAGCUCACCAGAGAAGAUUUGCGACCGAUCAAACAUCUUCGAUGGAAAGAAAGAAGAGAACAUUCUUGGCAAUACAUGGGAGUUCUUGAAGUUUAUUUCUAUGGAACAAGAUUAGGAUGAUAGAUGAAUUCAGUGGCGAAGUGGCUCACUAAAUGGUGAAAGUGAAGACAAUGACAUGCUAGGUGUCAAUAUGGAAUAUACACGUUUUUAAGAUGGUGGCUGAGUUUAGGGCGUUGCAACCUCACCUACAUCACCCAAACUAGCUAUAAUGGCUGUCAAGUGGUCCAUGGAGAUGUUUCCUAGAUGAAAGAUAGGGUGGAGGGAGGAAUUGGGUGAGAAAUGGAUAUUGGAACCUUUUUUCCCUCUCUCUCCCCCUUCAUGGUAUAUUUUUUUUUGGGGGAAUGCCAUUCGGCUAGCUUUAUUGAUAGGAUAAAAUUGUUACAUCAUUUACCAGAUGGUUCAGAACACAGCCAGGGGGUUCAUCGACCCAAGUACAAGAAUUUUUUGUCCUAAACGCUAACCUGGCCAGUUCAUGAGCCACCUGAUUGGAGUUUCUAUUACAGUGCUCAAUAGAAAUUGUACCAAACCCAUCCCACAUCAGCUUGCAAUCAUCAAACACAGACAUAGCCGCUGUAGCAGAAAAUCCUCCAUCCAUCAUCGUUGAAACCACCUGCAUACAAUCAGUUUGUACUAUAACAUUUUUAGCACCAAUGUGUUGUGCCAGGGACAGCCCAUCUCUCAGCGCAAAAGCCUCUGCCAUCGGUGCAUCAAGGACAUGUGGAAGAAAAGCUUGCGAAGCCGCAACACAAGCUCCCAAGUGAUCUCUCAACACCACCCCAAUACCUCCACUUCCUGAAUCAAAAUCGAAGGCAGCAUCAACAUUGAUCAUUAGCAUUCCUUCAGGAGGUUUCUUCCAACCGUUCUGAAUUUUUGUUUUACCUUUCUUAUUUGACAACAUAUAGUUUGUGGUUAAGGUAGCAAUAGACAUUGCCGACCGAGCAGGGUUCUGUAUUCGUUCCCCCUGCACCAACUGUCUUCUCUCCCACCAAAUAUACCAAGCUCCCGUUAAGAUCAAUUCCGUCAUUCCAAUAGCAUUCAGAUGCGAAACCUUCCCACCCUUCCUUAUCAUCUCCUCCACCAGAACUGAUCCUGACCGGUCGAAACCCAGAAUCGGUUGUAUUCUGCUCCAUAUGCCUAGCUGCUUCCAAAUCAACUUUGCUCUUCUACAAGUAAAAACCAUAUGCUUGAUAUCUUCAACUCCUGAAGAACAAACCGGACAACCACCUUGGACUGCAAUGUGUUUGUCAGCUAAGAUGCCUUUACAGGGAAUCACACCAUGCAACAUUCUCCAUGCAAAGAUUUUUAUCUUGGGUGGAAUUUCCAGUUUCCACAGGUUGUCCCAGACCGGCCUGCUCGAGCUACUUGCACCAUCAGGCAGUCUCUCCUUGCUCCCAAACUUUGCAUUCCACUGACAAUGGUAAGCAGACCGAACUGAAAAAAUUCCUGACCGAGUGUGAUGCCAAGCAACAAAAUCCUCUCUCCCGGCUGAAAUAGGGAUUUGUAGAAUUCGGUUAGCAUCAAUAGGCCAGAACAAGGUAUCUAUCAGGUCUUCAUCCCAUCCACCACUUACUGGAUUGAUCAGUUCUUCAACUUUUGUGAUAAUGUUCCUUCCUCGAGGUGUUAAAACCUUCCCAUUACUGCUUGAAGGUAUCAAACUAUCUUCCCAUAUAUUAACUUGGGAUCCAUCUCCAAUUCUCCAUAUGUAGCCUUUAAAGCAUUCCGAACCAGAUAGAAUGCUUUGCCAAGCAUAAGAACUACCCUUUUUCGGUCUUGCCCUCAAAAUAUUUCCAUCCGGAUAGUAUUUGCAUCGCAUUACCCUUGCACACAGUGAGUCAGGAUCACACAGGAAUCUCCAUAUCUGUUUAGCAAGCAUCGCUCGAUUAAAACAAUAUAAGUCCCUAAAACCCAGACCACCUCUUUGUUUUGGAAUGCACAUCCUCCACCAAGCCUUCCAAUGUAUUCUUCUGUGAUUUUCAUCAUCACCCCACCAGAAUCGCGCGAUUGCUUCAGAGAUACAGUCACAUAUUUUUUUCGGUAUCCUGAAAACAGACAUCGCAAAAACUGGUAUAGCCUGAGCGAUUGAUUUUAUAAGCACUUCCUUCCCCCCUGUACUCAACAUCUUCUCCUUCCGUCCAUUUAUCCGGUUGUUGACUCUAUCAAUCAGGUGUCGAAAACAAUCACUCUUAUCAACACCUAUCAUCGCUGGGAGUCCAAGAUAUUUGUCGUUUAAAGCUUCAGUCAUAAUAUCUAGAGAUCCACAGACAGCAGCUUUAUCUUCGACUGCAGUAUUUCUACUGAAGAAAAUACUCGACUUCGCUUCACUGAUUUUCUGUCCAGAAUUUUGACAGUAAAUAUCCAAAAUUGCUUUCAGAUGAUCAGCAUUAUUCUUGUCUGCUUGCAUCAAUAUUAGAGAAUCAUCCGCAAAUAACAAGUGUGAUAUCAUCGGUGCUUCACGACACACUCUGAUUCCCACUAAGUCUCCUCUAUUUUCAGCUCCUUGCAGCAUACUCGAUAGACCCUCAGCAACAAGCAAAAAAAGGUAUGGGGAUAAGGGAUCCCCCUGCCUUAAGCCUCGAGAAGGCUUAAUAACCUCUGUCAAUACACCAUUGAAAUUCACCCUGUACUGAACUGAAGAAACACAAGACAUUAUUAACUGAACCCAGCGGCUAUCAAAGCCUAAUUUCAACAUGAUUUGUUCCAGGUACAUCCAUUCAACCCGAUCAUAUGCUUUGUGCAUAUCUAGCUUCACUGCACACAGACCUUUUCUUCCUUUCUUCUUUUUCAUUGUGUGUAAGCACUCAUAAGCUACCAAAACAUUAUCCGUGAUCAACCUGCCCGGGACAAAAGCACUCUGCUGAUCACUUAUUAUUUCAGGGAGAAGACACUUUAGCCGGUUUGCUAACAUCUUAGAAAUUAUUUUAUAGACCACAUUACAUAAGCUAAUGGGUCUAAAUUGAGUUACUCUGUCUGGUUUAUCAACCUUUGGAAUCAUGACAACAGUUGUGUCAUUCCAUCCAUCUGGAAUUUUCAUUGUAUUUAUUGCAUCAAGAACUUCUUUAACCAGAUCACUCUCCAACAUAUCCCAGAAUCUUUUAUAGAAAACAGCGUGCAGCCCAUCUGGUCCCGGAGCUUUCAGAUCACCUAUACUGAACAGAGCAUUUUUCACCUCUUCAGCUGUAUACGGUGCUAGUAAUCCAAAAUUCAUAUCUCCCGUUACUUUUCUCUGUACAUCCAGCAAAGAAGAUCCAUCUAUUUGUGUAACCUCAGCCGAGAAGAGAUUUUGGAAGUACCCAUAAACUAUGUUACUCAUUCUGUCUUCAUCGGUUUGAAAACAUCCAUUCUCAUCAAUAAGUCCCUUAAUUUUCUUUCUUCUUCUUCUCUGUGCAGCAAAUUGUUGAAAGAAACUGGUGUUACGGUCACCAUGUUUCAACCAAUUUGCUCUCGCUCUCUGAAUCCAGUAGAUUUCCUCUUGCUCUAGAAUGAGUUCAAUGCGUAACAAAAUCUCUUUUUGCUCAUCCAAUCAUUCCACAGAAGUAACAGAACGUUGGCAUCCUUUCAUAAGUUACUGGAUACAAUAUUCUUUCCUUGAUCGUGAUUGGGACAAACCGAACGAGGGGUUUACUCAAAUCUAAGAAAACCCUAGCUCUGAGGUAUUUAACAGGAUUGAUUCUCCCCUCAUCUACUAUAACUGUGAAUGGUUGUUCACCAACCUUCUUAGCAACCCUCUCUGCUAGUUCUCUCUUCUUCAUCAACCCAUCAGGCACCCCAUGAAUGCGCGUCCAAACUGGAAUUUUAUCCAACUUAUAAUCAAACACAUUAGUGAAGCCAUCAUAUUCUUUAAGGACUACAGGAGCUCCUCUAAAGAUCCAUGGACCUCCUUCCAUGACUCUGUUCCAAUCACCAAGGCAUUGAAAUUGUACCAUAAAGAGAUUUGAAUCCAUUACCUUAAACGAGAUAUCCUGUGCCGAAGACCAGGCGUUUCUCAUAGCAUUCAACAGCGCUGAGUGGCUAAAGGGUUUUGUAGUAUAAACCCUAAAAAGAGCGAGCCAGCGUACGUCCUUGAUCAGCCCUUCCAAUUCCUCCGAGAAAUCUAGGUCAGUUUCCUCCUCCCCAUGCAUAUUCAACCUCUUCAAUCUCUCUUCCAGAUUUGGUUCGGAUCCCAUCUCUCCAUCACGCCCAGUCUCCUCCUCCGUAGGGCGCUUGGUUUCAUCCUCGGCAGAUGAUCGAGUAUCUGCCAUACUACCUUGAUCCCCGAGAAAACUUUCUCAGCGAAGGGUUUAACGAUCUCUCACUUCGCGAGAAGGAGAAAACACCUUACACCAGAUUGUUUUGAACGAUAGAACUCAGACGGGGGCGCCGCCUGAGGAAAAAAGAAACCCUAGAAAACUAGGGUAAACUACCAUCAAAUAGAAAUUAGCAACUACUCCUUCGGACUACUUUUCUCCCCCUUCAUGGUAUUUAAUCACAUAAACAAAGAGAGGUGAAGAGAUGUUGUGGCUGUGAUGUAAAUGACAAUUGGGCCCUAUGAAGUGAUUUCCUAGAAAUGUACGAGACGUAAGGUGGUACUUUAAGUGAAAAUUGAUUUUAAACCCUUCUCUCACCUUUUGAGAAAAAAAAGAAGAUUUAAAAGAGUGAAGAGUAGAUGAUGUGUUGGCUGUGAUUGUAUGAUGAGUGGGCCCCGCAAGGACUUGGUCCCACAUGUAAGGGAGAGAUGUAGAAAGAGAGAACUAGAAGCUCUAAAUUUUCCCAAGUGUUGGCACUAUUUCAUUUUACUAGAUUACUCUCAUCCUCCCAUCCAUUCAAUUUUUAAUUAAGGGGGGGACAAGGAGACAGAAAGCUAGACAAGUAUGUGAUGUAUCAAAUGUGCCAAGUUCCAAGAUUUAAUUACUUUUGCUUUUACCAUAGUAAUUUAGUAAAGUUGACUAGGUGGAUUGUUGAUUGCAUUUUAGAAUACUGUUUACCUAACUUUUGGCUCUCAAUUCCUUUGGUUAUAUUUCGAAUUAGACGAAGCCAUUGCAUCAGGUUGUAGAGUAAUGUAUAAUUAACAUUCUGACAAGGGGCUUUGAUAAAUAAGUUAUGGUUAAAAUUUGAUGAUUAUGCAAAGUAGGCUAAUUGGUAUGCUGGUUUCAGAUUUAUUGCUGAGUUGAAGAAUUUAUUUGUGGUACUAGUUGAUGUGAUAAAUUCAAACUAAAAUUACUGGGAGAUUAGGGUGUUGUGUAGUAUUUAUGAGAAUUUUUGUGGGAUUAAUUGUUGAUUCAUCUAUUUUUAAGAAUUUUCUUUAGACAUGACAUGCAUAUGCAAUCUAUUAUGAGAUGCACCAAGAAGAUCCAAAAACAAUCUUAAAACAAUAAUAUGCACAACCAAGCAAGUUCAUUUUAUCUCAAUUCAGAUGUGCUUAUUUUGAAACCUACCUUUCCAUUUGUUUUAUAUAUGACUUAAUUAUUUUUAGUUAGGUUAGCAAUUCAAAACCAAGAAGAUUAGGUUUCCAGUUUAAGGUCAAAGCAAAAUAUUUUAUUUUGAAAUUUAUUACCACAAGAUUUGUAAACUUUUAUUUUGGUCUUUGGUUUGAUUUUUCCCAACUAGACUAUGUGUUUAUUUUAUUUAAGGGAGUUAUAUGCUCUAGUAUGCUUCUAUGUUCACCGAAAACUUUAGAAUUCAGAAAGUUUUAAAUUUUCCACAAAAAAUUUUCCCUAGGUGAAAUUCCUGGUAUGUUACACUUGUUUUAUGAUUUUCAAUAGAGAUAGUAUCAGGGUUUCAGCCGAUCUUACCUGAUUUAGUUAUUUUGUUUCAUAUAUGUUAACUUGCUAUACUAAAUCUACCAUUUAUAUUAAGAUCUCACUUGGAUAAAAUAUAUUAAACUUGUUAUCAACCUUUUAAGUUAUCCCGAUGUUAGAUUGAUUUCUGUUUGGUAUAUUGAAUCUAUAUUGAUAUCUUAGUACAAAGUGGUAUCAGAGUACUAGCCGAUACAUAUUAGAUUUAUCCUAUCGGCUAUGCUAUGAAUAUAUAUAAUCUUUGCUCUGAAGUAGUUUUAGACAUAAGUGAUUUAUACUGUCUCGGCAUGCUGUCCGAUCUAUCCCAAUCACUUAGUUUAAAUAUAUUUUCGAAGCAUUGAUUAUAUAUUAUUGAUAUCUACAGCCGAUCGAGUAGAUCUAAUUCUUUCAUUAUUAUAUAUUUCACUGCUGAUCUGAUCCAUGUUACAUUGGUCCAGUGUUAAACGAUACGUCAUCGGCAAUCCAGCCGAUCGGCUAUCGUUUAUAGAUUUAACUUUGGAUUCUUUGUUUCUUGUUGGUUGCAGGAUCAAACCAACUGGCACGACCUAAACCCGAAAGCAAAUCUUUGAACCUGCACUAGAGUAAAGCAAAUUUCUCAGGCCAGUGUGUGUUUUUCGCAUCAACAGAAGUCUGGGACAUCAUUCUCAAGACAUGGUUCAGGGGACUCAGAUGGUAGAACAACCGUUACUUCCUCCGCAUAUUCAUCUUCAGGAAUGGAGUCAGUCAAGGCGAACCUUGAUUGCUUGAAUGGGAUUGAAAACUCAUUCCCUCCUAAAGAGAAUUUGAGGCUGCCUAAUCGAGGGUGUUGAUAAGAAGUUUCUCGAUGGGAUGCCUGAUUAGAACAUCAAUUUCAUGGAUUUCAAAGACAUGAUUUCAAGAUUGCCUCUUUGUCGUCAUGAAUGAUGGGCACAUCCUGGACAAUCUCAAAUCCUUCAAUAAGAUUCCCGUUGGGAUGCUUGAAGAAUUUGUUAGUCGGUGUAAUUGUCUUGUCGCUCAGGUAAGUGAUCGCAAAGGGUUCUGGAAUUUAUAUACAUUAUACAUAUAUAUGUAUGUAUAUGUAUAUGUAUAUGUAUAUGGUCCAAGUAAUAAAUGCCCAAGUUUCUUUAGGAUCCCAAUUCCAGUAGGAUCCCCACGCCUCAUUAGCCCAUACUGCUCCACAAAGAAUACCUAUGGUUAAAAGGGUAAACCCUAGACUAAUGACACGAUAACUCCAAGAAUCCAAACGCUCAAUUAAUUGAUAUUUGUAAUAAUUUGGAAAUAAAGGAAAAAAGGUGCUUUUUAAAGCACUUCUUUUUGCAUAGAAAUAUUCAAUCUCAUUAAAGAAAAAUGUUUUAAGCAAAACAUUUUUCUUCUUUUUCGAAAAGAAAUCUAAAUUCUUUCGAAAUCUAAUCAUUAGAAGAGCGGCGGAUAAUAAGGAUCCGCACAAAAGAGUCGCAUAGCUUAGUAACAUCAUACUGACAUGCAUCAUUAACCACUGAGAUUGUAGAGCAGGUACUAGUAUUGUGGAUUGAUGCAUUUCAGUUAAAAGACCCGACGUGGCAACAUGGAAUGGUUCGAGGAGUGGUAAUGAUCCGAAUUACUCUGGAAGAAAGCUCUGCUGUUGAUGACCAAAUUUGGUAGGACAUGCAUCAAAAUCGAAUCGGAUUUGGCGGAGGAUCGUUUCUCAGAAACAGAGUACGCAUCAGCUACGAAAGGCAUCAGCUAAGUGACUGCAUCGGCUAAUGAUGGAUCAGUGUCACACCCCGAAGUUCUCCUCCCAAGCCUAAAAUUUAAUUUUUAAAACGACCCCAAGAAAAUGCAGGUGAAAUCAAGAGAAAACCCUAAGAAAGUAAUGCAAAUAAUAAUCGGAUUUGACAUGUGGAAUUUUUCUUGAGUUCUACAUGUCGAAAUUCAUUAACAGGAUUUUUAGUGGAAUUUUCAGAGCUCUAGAAAUAAUUUUCACCAAUUAAAAUUUAGCAAGCAAUAUUUUAAUUCCAGGGAAAAUCCUUUUUCCUUUUUCUUUUUUUUUCUUUUCUUUUUCCUCUCUUUUCCUCUUUUUUUUCCCGAAUGGGCCGCCGGCCCAUUCUCUCCUUUCUCCCCCCUCCCUGCUGGGCCGGCCGCAGGCCGAGGCCCAGCCAGGCCGCCCCGCCGCCCUCCUCUCUCGGGGUCGCCGACAGGUGGGGCCCACCUGUCGGGUCCUUCCCCCACCUCCCGCCGCUCCCGGCGCGCCACCGCGCCCGCAACCGCCGCCGCGCCCACGUCUCCGCCUCCUUCGGGCCACGUCGACCACGUCCGCGCUUGCGCCGCGUCUCCCGCGCCCACUCCCCUCUCUCUCCCGCCCGCGCCCGCGUCCGAGAUGGCCGGGAUUCGAUUUUCGAAUCCCGCCUCUCUCUCCUCCCCCACUCCCCACGUCGGCCGGCGAUUCCCGCCUCUCCCGGCCACGUCCGGUUCUCUCUCUCCCAAUUUAAUCUUCUCCGUCGCCCCCUCUCGCUUUUUCCCCAUUUCGCCGACCUCUCCCGAGCCUCCCAUCGCUCCCGCGCCGUGCAACCUCUUGCCGCCGCUGUUUCCGCUACUCCGGCCGCCAUUAGCCGCCGCUAGGGUCGCCGCCGCACCACGCCGUCUUCGCCGUCGGGUUCGCAAGGCUAAGCUCCACCCCGGCCGCCCCUUCCCCGUCGAGUUUCGUCGCCGAAAUUCGCCUCCCCUCGCGCUCCGGUGAGUUCAACCGCUACCGCCGCUUUCGGCCGUGAAUACCGGUCGCCGUGGUUCAUCUCCCUCUAUCUAAUCCCUCUCUUCUCCUUCCUUAGGGCACCCGGAAGCUCGUCCGCCGGUUGCCGUAUCCUCCCCUUCCUAGCCGCCACUUAGCGCAGCCGCCUUCGCGUCGCCUUUUGCGCCGUCGCCUUCGCCGCCGGUUGCCGUCGCCGGCAAUGCGUUCGCGCGCGCGCCGUCGCCGUCGCCGCGGCCGGUCGGCCGGCCUUGAGCCAAGCCGAGCCGGGUGCCGCCGCCCCUUUCCUCCCGAGCCGCUGACCAGUGGGCCCGCGUGCCGGCGCCCUUUCCUCCCUCUCCCGAGCCGCUGACCGGUGGGCCCCGCAUGUCGGCGCCGCUUCCCCUGUGCUGACGUCAGCCCUGGAAAAUAUUGCGCAAUAAAUUAUUUAAGGAUUUCUGUUAUAGUAAUAAACACAGUGAAUCUUCUAAAAUCCAUAACUAAUUCAUCCGAGCUCCGUUUAAGCCCAUUCAAGUCUCAGUAAAUCAAGAAAACUGUGCAGAAUCCAUUAAAAAUGGUUUUGUUCCCUGUUUCAGUAGUCUUAUAGCCUGUUUGCAAUGUUUGCUUUGUAUGUCGCUAGAUUCCGAUUCCUCCGACGCUCCGGGGUACUUCGAGAUAGUCGCCGAGGUUCCUCCAGCAGCAGAGCAAGGCAAGUCAUGCUUGUCACUUGAACAUGUUGAUCCUAUAUUGCAAAUGCUCUAUUGUUUUCUUUCAAAUAUUGCAUUGUUUUAUAAUAUUACUAUGGGAUGGUUACCUAUUGUUACAGCCAUGCUUUUCGGAUACCAUGCUCCUUUGUUAGCUUGGGGUUAUAACAUGAUUAGAGUUUGGACUAGGAAUUGCUUAGCCAUGCUUAGUUCAACUAGUUCACAACGGGGAAAAUCAUAUUAAUGUUUAGACUAUUGGUUCCAAUGGUGUUGUUGGAUUAGUGACACCGUUUUGGUGUUGGUUAAUUAAAAUAAACCACAUGGUGGGCUGUGGGUGCAUGGUUUUGCUGGUCGCACCCAUGGCAGUUAAGGACCGGUUCGCGGGAUGCCCUGGAAGAACUUAUCGUACUUACCACAAGCCAGCGUGGGCAACGGCUGGACUUGUAGUGUAUCUUUCCUCUAGUCGACGCAUCCAGGCAAGGGUGGGCGUGAUGGAGCGGGGCGGGCCCUGCGACGGCCUCUGUCGCUUCCGGAUUCACCUAGGCACGAGAGGGGACUGCCCGUUGCCCGCUGGGGACGGGGGUGAAACCUGAGGUGUGGUGUGCUUGGCUAGAGGGGGUUAUGCAAAGGGUCCUGUCACGGCCUCUUUCCGAUAUGUCGUGGUGGCAUGUCGGCGCACGGAAACGUGUUGUGGGGCUGUGUCUUGUGGGUACAGUUGUACACCUCUGAUCAGAGUAAAACUAUUCGAAUAGCCGUGCCCGCGGUUAUGGGCGGUCAACCAGAUUCACCGUGAUUAGUCUCACCUUAGUGUAAUCUUUUAAUUUGGAUAGUUUAGGUGGAUGGUUGGGCCUGUCGCAACAUGGGUUAGCGUUGGACAGUGGAUAGUUGAUGUUAAUUAAUUAUUACAACUGUUUAAAUCUUUCACUUUCUGUUUAUAAAUGCUCGCUUUAUGCAAAUGAACCACUUCAGCUCUUCUUUGAUGAUUCCCUGCAUCAUACCCCUAUUCCGGUAUGACUUGCUGAGUACAGUGGGUAGUACUCAGUCUUGCUCUACUUUUCCCAACCCCAGAUUUCGAGUUCGGGUCAGAUGAAGGUUUCUCCGAGGAGUAGGCUUUGUCCGUGCCGUCGAGGAUGCCUGUGGAGUGGUGUUCCCGCUGCAGUUCAAGUCAAGGCUUAGCUCCUGUUGUCUUUCUUUCUUUCCGCUGCAUUUAUGUAAGACUUUUAUGAUGUUUGUAAGACGUGGAUCUGAAUGUCAACAUUGUCGUUUGUGUACCCCGGCUGGUCCUGGACGGGGAUUUUAAUGCACAUUUUGCUUGGAAUUCUAUUCGGGAAUUUCUGGGCGUGACAAGUUGGUAUCAGAUCCGACAUUGACCGUAGGACAAGCCAAAUGGAAAAACCUAAGAGCCCUCUGAAUCCUUUUCAUUGCAUAUGUUCCUUGCAAUUGGAUUUUAUUCCGGGAAAAUUGGGAUCAGUUUUUGUGGUUCAAGGGAAAAAUCUUGGUCGCUCGUUUAAAGUGAGAUUUGUCAAAACAAGUCAGUCCAGGGUUUUAGUAAAACUGUUGAGAUUUAUUCGUCAGUCAGUUGGGAUUUGAUGGGUGAAAUGCAUUAGGUCCUAGCUCAGGAACAUGGGUUGCAAGGUAUUUAUGCUUUAUUUGUUAUUAUUAGUAUGUAUCUAAUUUCUCAUUAUUUUAUCGUUAUGUGAGUCUGUCUUAUUUAUUCGCUCUCAUGCAAAAUGAUCUAUGCAUAAAAAUUUCGCUUUCAUUCGAUUCUCUUAUUUGAGUCUUUUAUUGCUUUAUUUAAACUUGGAUUUGAGCAUGCAUUGAUCCUACUCCUCUGUCUUCUCUAGAUGGCCGGCCACCCACCCAACCACCGCGGAGAAGGCAUGAUCGACUUUGUGGCAGAGUUGGCACGCAUGACAUUGGUGGUGGGCUACCCCAACGCGCCAGAGUAUACGACGAUUCCACCGCUCAGUGGCGAGCUUCCUCACCGUGUUCGCUUGGAGGUCCACGGCUACGUGGGUACCUGCCUAGCUAACAUGGUGGUCGAGGCAUCUGGAGGCACAGCAGAUCACGCCUGUCAGGAGGCAGCCUACUUGAUGAUGGCCAGACUACGGGAGUGCCACAACUACAUCUUCCACGACACGGCGUACCGCUUCCACCCCCGUCGAGCCAACGGUGAUGACGUCAGCUCCUUCCAUCCGACAGCUGGCGAGAACGACACCACCUUUGGUCACAUGUGUGCUGUGAUGAGGGGAUUGGACAGGAUGCACUCAGACCUGCACAAGGCGACCAAGGCCUUGAACGAUGGGAAGCUCAUGAGGAUCGUCGCUCUGAAGGACAAGAUAGCGCGCCUGAAGAGGGAGAACGCUCAGCUAAAGGGUCUUCCAGCGCCAGGAGGAGUCCGGAUCCGCACUACGCCCCGCAAGACGACGACGGCACCCGUGCGCAUCCAGCUUGCGCCCAGGAACCCACCUCCAUCCGCAGCUCCCGCAGCACCUCCAGUUCCGCCCGCAGCUCCGGCAGUUCCUGCAGCUCCAGCUCCUGCGUCCGCUCUCUCCUUCGCUCCCGCAUCAGCCGCCAGGGGUCCAGCCAGUGGCAAUGGAGGUUGGUUGUCUGCUACUCCCAGUGGCUCAGAGUCAGGCAGUGGCGAGACUUAUCUGCCAGGCUCCGGGAGUCGCUCAGAGGGACUUGGUGACGAGCAGGAGGACGUCUUCGACUCCACCGACCGCAGGAGCCGUUCCGAGCAUUAGGCUCGUUUUCCAUUAGUUUAUCGACUGUCUAGCUUCUGCUUGUUAAUUUGUGUGUUUAGGUUGCUUGUUUGGGGUUAGUCGACAGUCGAUAUCAUGUGCCUAUGAUAUGGCUGUCUUAAUAAGGAUUUUUGCUUGCUCUUUAAGUGUUUUAAUUCAGAUCAGAACAAUUGCAGUUUUAAUUCCUUUGUAAUAAAGCUUAGUUCCUGAGCAUCUGUUUUUCUUCUUUUCCCCGUCUGCUUUUCCCUCCAGAUGGUCUACACCAGGAAUGGUAGCCGCGCAACAGGCGAGGGCAGCAACGGCGAAGAACGCGCUGAUGGUGUGCACCCCAGCAGUGAUUCCGGCAAUGGUCCGCCACCACUUCCCGAGAAUCCGACCCUUGCCCAAGUUAUGGCACAUCAGACUCAGAUGAUGGCAGCCAUGAUGCAGCAGAUGCAGCAGCAGCACCAGCAGAUGCACCAGAGGAUGAUGCAGCACGUCGAACAGCAGCACCAGCAGUUUGGUCCCCCUCCCCCUCAGUCCAAGUUGCCAGAGUUUCUACGCGUCAGGCCACCCACCUUCUCAAGCACCACCAACCCCAUGGAGGCGAAUGACUGGCUCCAUGCCAUAGAGAAGAAGCUGAAUCGCCUGCAGUGCAAUGAUCAGGAGAAGGUCGCUUUCGCCACACACCAGCUUCAGGGUCCCGCGUCAGCUUGGUGGGACAAUCACAUGGCCACCCGCCCACCAGGUACUGAAGUCACAUGGGCAGAGUUCUGCCGUAGCUUCUGGAAGGCGCAGGUGCCAGACGGGGUCGUGGCACAAAAGAAGAGGGAAUUCCGGGCACUCCAUCAGGGCAACAGGACUGUGACAGAGUACCUCCACGAGUUCAAUCGCCUCGCGCGAUAUGCACCAGAGGAUGUCCGCACCGACGCCGAGAAGCAGGAGAAGUUCAUGGCGGGUCUGGAUGAUGAGCUGACCAACCAACUGAUAUCCGGGGACUACGCUGACUUUGAGAGGUUGGUUGACAAGGCAAUCCGCCAGGAGGAUCAACGCAACAAGAUGGACAGGAAGAGGAAGGCCGCACAGUUCAGGGCACCUCAGGGAAGUCACCAGAGGCCGCGCUUCGCUCCUGGGCAGCAGGGUGGACCUACCACCAUGAUCGUUCGUCAGCACCGCCCGUUCAACCCUAGCAACUUUCCCCAGGGCGCCAGUGGCAGUCAGAACCACCAUGGAGGUCAGUCCAACCGCGGUGCAGCUUCACGCCCACCAAUGGCACCGGCACAGUCAGGCCCGCCCGCGCAAGCCAAGAAGGAGACUGGAGCAAAACCAGGGUCCUGCUUCAACUGUGGCGAGCUUGGCCACUUCGCUGACAAAUGCCCGAAGCCUAGGCGUGCCGGGCCAAGGUUUAUCCAGGCUCGUGUCAACCACGCAUCUGCGGAGGAGGCACAAGCAGCACCAGAGGUCGUACUGGGUACGUUCCCUGUUAACUCAAUCCCUGCAACAGUACUUUUUGAUUCUGGUGCGACGCAUUCUUUCAUUUCAAAGAAAUUUGUCGGGAUGCAUCUGUUAAUAAGAGAGGAACUUAGCACACCAAUGCGGGUUCAUACCCCAGGGAAUAGCUCCACUUCGGUUCAAUUCAGCCCUUCUAUAACAAUAGAAAUUCAAAGAUCACCAUUUCUAGCCAACCUCAUUCUUCUCGAAUCCAAAGACCUAGAUGUCAUUCUUGGGAUGGAUUGGCUGACCAAGUUUAAGGGGGUCAUCGAUUGUGCGAAUCGCACAGUCACCUUGAUCAACGAGAAGGGAGAAACCGUGGUGUACAAAUCUCUAGUCUCGCCAAAGAAAGGGGUCUCUUUGAAUCAGAUUGAAGCGGAAAUCCCAGUGGACACCGUAGAGAAGAACUCGAGAAAAUUGGAAGAUAUACCCAUAGUCUGCGAGUAUCCAGAAGUGUUCCCCGAAGACCUCACUACCAUGCCACCCAAGAGAGAGAUUGAAUUCCGGAUUGACUUGGCACCGGGAACUGCUCCAAUCUAUAAGAGACCAUACAGGAUGGCGGCCAACGAACUAGCAGAGGUCAAGAAACAGGUUGAUGAGCAGCUGCAGAAAGGGUACAUUCGACCAAGUACUUCACCUUUGGGUGCUCCGGUCAUUUUUGUGGAGAAAAAGGAUAAGACGAAGAGGAUGUGCGUUGAUUACCACGCACUCAACGAGGUCACAAUCAAGAACAAAUAUCCUUUGCCGCGAAUCGAUGAUUUGUUUGAUCAACUGAAAGGAGCUAAAGUGUUUUCUAAGAUAGACCUGCGAUCAGGCUACCACCAGUUGAGAAUUCGGGAAGAGGAUAUUCCGAAGACGGCCUUCACCACUCGGUACGGGCUAUAUGAGUGCACGGUUAUGUCUUUCGGACUCACCAACGCACCCGCAUUCUUCAUGAAUCUGAUGAACAAAGUGUUCAUGGAAUUUCUGGACAAGUUUGUUGUGGUGUUCAUCGACGACAUUCUUAUCUAUUCAAAGUCCGAAGAAAAACAUGAACAACAUUUCCGUCUGGUACUCGAGAAGUUGAGGGAGCACCAGCUAUAUGCCAAGUUCAGCAAGUGUGACUUCUGGUUGACGGAAGUCAAAUUUUUGGGCCAUGUCAUUACAGCUCAGGGUGUGGCAGUCGACCCAUCGAACGUGGAGUCAGUUACCAAAUGGACCCCACCGAAGACCGUGUCGUAGAUUCGAAGUUUUCUUGGACUUGAAGGUUAUUACCGUCGAUUCAUCGAAAAUUUCUCCAGAAUCGCCCGACCCAUGACUCAGUUGCUUAAGAAGGAUGAGAAGUUUAAAUGGACAGCCGAGUGCGAUAAGAGCUUCGAGGAGCUCAAGAAGAAAUUAGUAUCCGCACCCGUUUUGAUUCUGCCCGACCCGAUGAAAGACUUCCAAGUCUAUUGUGAUGCAUCCCGUCACGGACUUGGAUGUGUCCUAAUGCAAGAGGGCAGAGUGGUUGCGUAUGCCUCACGGCAGUUGCGUCCACACGAAGGGAAUUAUCCAACUCAUGACUUGGAAUUGGCAGCAGUGGUUCAUGCUUUGAAGAUCUGGAGGCACUAUCUGAUUGGCAACCGCUGCGAAGUAUAUACGGACCAUAAGAGUCUGAAAUACAUCUUCACCCAACCGGACCUAAAUCUCCGACAACGAAGAUGGUUGGAACUAAUCAAAGACUAUGACAUGAGUAUUCACUACCACCCGGGUAAAGCCAAUGUGGUGGCAGACGCUUUAAGCCGGAAAAGUUACUGCACUGCCCUAUGCAUCGAGGGCAUGUGUGAGGAAUUGCGGCAGGAGUUUGAGCAUCUCAACGUGGGAAUUGUUGAACUCGGGUUCGUAGCCGCUCUGGAGGCACGGCCUACGCUCAAGCAAAUGAUUCUGAAAUAGCAGAGCUGAAAAAGAACAUGAGUGUCGGAAAAGCCCGGGAUUUCCACGAAGAUGAGCAUGGCACAAUCUGGUUGGGAGAAAGAUUGUGUGUACCUGACGACAAGGAACUGAAGGAUCUGAUACUCACCGAGGCUCAUCAGACCCAGUACUCCAUUCACCCAGGCAGCACUAAAAUGUAUCAAGACCUCAAAGAAAAGUUUUGGUGGGUCAGCAUGAGGAGAGAAAUAGCUGAAUUCGUCGCACUCUGCGAUGUUUGCCAACGAGUGAAGGCAGAGCACCAAAGACCAGCAGGUUUACUUCAACCUCUUCAAAUCCCGGAAUGGAAAUGGGAGGAGAUUGGAAUGGACUUUAUAACAGGACUGCCCCGGACAUCAUCGGGUCACGAAUCGAUCUGGGUAGUUGUGGAUCGACUCACUAAGGUUGCUCACUUCAUACCAGUACAUACCACAUAUACGGGCAAAAGGUUGGCGGAGCUUUACCUUUCGAGAAUCAUGUGCCUACAUGGAGUACCCAAAAAGAUUGUAUCUGACCGAGGGAGUCAGUUCACCUCAAAAUUCUGGCAGAAGCUACAGGAAGAACUGGGGACCCGUUUAAAUUUCAGCACGGCCUAUCACCCGCAAACUGAUGGUCAGACCGAGCGAGUCAAUCAAAUCUUGGAAGAUAUGUUGAGAGCUUGUGCUCUUGAUUUUGGUGGAGCUUGGGACAAAAGCUUGCCAUAUGCGGAAUUCUCGUACAACAACAGCUACCAGGCCAGUCUACAGAUGGCACCGUUUGAAGCUUUAUACGGCCGGAAGUGUCGCACACCUCUCUUCUGGGAUCAGACAGGCGAACGUCAACUGUUCGGAACAGAAGUAUUAGCGGAAGCAGAAGAGAAAGUCAGAAUCAUCAGGGAAAGAUUGAGGAUUGCUCAGUCUCGACAGAAGAGCUACGCGGAUAACCGUCGAAGGGAGCUCACUUUUGAGGCAGGAGAUUACGUGUAUCUUCGUGUCACUCCGCUCCGGGGAGUACACUGGUUUCAGACGAAAGGCAAGUUGGCACCACGCUUCGUGGGACUAUACAAAAUCUUGGAACGAAGGGGAGAAGUUGCUUAUCAGUUAGAACUUCCAUCCAAUAUGAUCGGCACCCAUGACGUGUUCCAUGUGUCCCAAUUAAAGAAGUGCUUAAGGGUACCUGAAGAACAGGCUGAUUCGGAGCACAUUGAUAUCCAGGAGGACCUAACAUAUGUGGAGAAGCCGGUUCGUAUACUUGAUACCAGCGAAAGAAGAACCAGAAAUAAGGUCACCAGGUUUUGCCGAGUUCAGUGGAGUCAUCAUUCAGAAGAGGAAGCAACCUGGGAAAGGGAAGAUGAGUUGAAAGCCGCCCAUCCGCACCUCUUCAGCAGCUCCUCCGAAUCUCGGGGCCGAGAUUCCGUUUAAAGGGGGGGUAGGUUUGUCACACCCCGAAGUUCUCCUCCCAAGCCUAAAAUUUAAUUUUUAAAACGACCCCAAGAAAAUGCAGGAGAAAUCAAGAGAAAACCCUAAGAAAGUAAUGCAAAUAAUAAUCGGAUUUGACAUGUGGAAUUUUUCUUGAGUUAUACAUGUCGAAAUUCAUUAACAGGAUUUUUAGUGGAAUUUUCAGAGCUCUAGAAAUAAUUUUAACCAAUUAAAAUUGAGCAAGCAAUAUUUUAAUUCUAGGGAAAAUCCUUUUUCCUUUUUCUUUUUUUUUCUUUUCUUUUUCCUCUCUUUUCCUCUUUUUUUUCCCGAAUGGGCCGCCGGCCCAUUCUCUCCUUUCUCCCCCCCUCCCUGCUGGGCCGGCCGCAGGCCGAGGCCCAGCCAGGCCGCCCCGCCGCCCUCCUCUCUCGGGGUCGCCGACAGGUGGGGCCCACCUGUCGGGUCCUUCCCCCACCUCCCGCCGCUCCCGGCGCGCCACCGCGCCCGCAACCGCUGCCGCGCCCACGUCUCCGCCUCCUUCGGGCCACGUCGACCACGUCCGCGCUUGCGCCGCGUCUCCCGCGCCCACUCCCCUCUCUCUCCCGCCCGCGCCCGCGUCCGAGAUGGCCGGGAUUCGAUUUUCGAAUCCCGCCUCUCUCUCCUCCCCCACUCCCCACGUCGGCCGGCGAUUCCCACCUCUCCCGGCCACGUCCGGUUCUCUCUCCCUAUUUAAUCUUCUCCGUCGCCCCCUCUCGCUUUUUCCCCAUUUCGCCGACCUCUCCCGAGCCUCCCAUCGCUCCCGCGCCGUGCAACCUCUUGCCGCCGCUGUUUCCGCUACUCCGGCCGCCAUUAGCCGCCGCUAGGGUCGCCGCCGCACCACGCCGUCUUCGCCGUCGGGUUCGCAAGGCUAAGCUCCACCCCGGCCGCCCCUUCCCCGUCGAGUUUCGUCGCCGAAAUUCGCCUCCCCUCGCGCUGCGGUGAGUUCAACCGCUACCGCCGCUUUCGGCCGUGAAUACCGGUCGCCGUGGUUCAUCUCCCUCUAUCUAAUCCCUCUCUUCUCCUUCCUUAGGGCACCCGGAAGCUCGUCCGCCGGUUGCCGUAUCCUCCCGUGGCUUGCCGUCGCCGUUCGCCAUCGUCUUCCUCCGCGCCGGCCACCCUCGGUGAGGCAUCCCUCCCCUCUUUUCCCCUUCCUCUCCUCCUAGUGCCGCGCCGCCGCUUCAAGUUGCGCACCGUCGCCUUCGGCCGCCACCGCCGCCUCCCGUGCCGCCGGUCGCCGCCGUCGUCGGCCGCAUGCCGUCGCCGCUAGACCUGGCCGGCAGGUCGGCUUUGAUGCCGAGCCGAGCCGGCGGCCGCCUUUAUCGCCGCCCGUUCCCUCCCCUUCCUAGCCGCCACUUAGCGCAGCCGCCUUCGCGUCGCCUUUUGCGCCGUCGCCUUCGCCGCCGGUUGCCGUCGCCGGCAACGCGUUCGCGCGCGCGCCGUCGCCGUCGCCGCGGCCGGUCGGCCGGCCUUGAGCCAAGCCGAGCCGGGUGCCGCCGCCCCUUUCCUCCCGAGCCGCUGACCAGUGGGCCCGCGUGCCGGUGCCCUUUCCUCCCUCUCCCGAGCCGCUGACCGGUGGGCCCCGCAUGUCGGCGCCGCUUCCCCUGUGCUGACGUCAGCCCUGGAAAAUAUUGCGCAAUAAAUUAUUUAAGGAUUUCUGUUAUAGUAAUAAACACAGUGAAUCUUCUAAAAUCCAUAACUAAUUCAUCCGAGCUCCGUUUAAGCCCAUUCAAGUCUCAGUAAAUCAAGAAAACUGUGCAGAAUCCAUUAAAAAUGGUUUUGUUCCCUGUUUCAGUAGUCUUAUAGCCUGUUUGCAAUGUUUGCUUUGUAUGUCGCUAGAUUCCGAUUCCUCCGACGCUCCGGGGUACUUCGAGAUAGUCGCCGAGGUUCCUCCAGCAGCAGAGCAAGGCAAGUCAUGCUUGUCACUUGAACAUAUUGAUCAUAUAUUGCAAAUGCUCUAUUGUUUUCUUUCAAAUAUUGCAUUGUUUUAUAAUAUUACUAUGGGAUGGUUACCUAUUGUUACAGCCAUGCUUUUCGGAUACCAUGCUCCUUUGUUAGCUUGGGGUUAUAACAUGAUUAGAGUUUGGACUAGGAAUUGCUUAGCCAUGCUUAGUUCAACUAGUUCACAACGGGGAAAAUCAUAUUAAUGUUUAGACUGUUGGUUCCAAUGGUGUUGUUGGAUUAGUGACACCGUUUUGGUGUUGGUUAAUUAAAAUAAACCACAUGGUGGGCUGUGGGUGCAUGGUUUUGCUGGUCGCACCCAUGGCAGUUAAGGACCGGUUCGCGGGAUGCCCUGGAAGAACUUAUCGUACUUACCACAAGCCAGCGUGGGCAACGGCUGGACUUGUAGUGUAUCUUUCCUCUAGUCGACGCAUCCAGGCAAGGGUGGGCGUGAUGGAGCGGGGCGGGCCCUGCGACGACCUCUGUCGCUUCCGGAUUCACCUAGGCACGAGAGGGGACUGCCCGUUGCCCGCUGGGGACGGGGGUGAAACCUGAGGUGUGGUGUGCUUUGCUAGAGGGGGUUAUGCAAAGGGUCCUGUCACGGCCUCUUUCCGAUAUGUCGUGGUGGCAUGUCGGCGCACGGAAACGUGUUGUGGGGCUGUGUCUUGUGGGUACAGUUGUACACCUCUGAUCAGAGUAAAACUAUUCGAAUAGCCGUGCCCGCGGUUAUGGGCGGUCAACCAGAUUCACCGUGAUUAGUCUCACCUUAGUGCAAUCUUUUAAUUUGGAUAGUUUAGGUGGAUGGUUGGGCCUGUCGCAACAUGGGUUAGCGUUGGACAGUGGAUAGUUGAUGUUAAUUAAUUAUUACAACUGUUUAAAUCUUUCACUUUCUGUUUAUAAAUGCUCGCUUUAUGCAAAUGAACCACUUCAGCUCUUCUUUGAUGAUUCCCUGCAUCAUACCCCUAUUCCGGUAUGACUUGCUGAGUACAGUGGGUAGUACUCAGUCUUGCUCUACUUUUCCCAACCCCAGAUUUCGAGUUCGGGUCAGAUGAAGGUUUCUCCGAGGAGUAGGCUUUGUCCGUGCCGUCGAGGAUGCCUGUGGAGUGGUGUUCCCGCUGCAGUUCAAGUCAAGGCUUAGCUCCUGUUGUCUUUCUUUCUUUCCGCUGCAUUUAUGUAAGACUUUUAUGAUGUUUGUAAGACGUGGAUCUGAAUGUCAACAUUGUCGUUUGUGUACCCCGGCUGGUCCUGGACGGGGAUUUUAAUGUACAUUUUGCUUGGAAUUCUAUUCGGGAAUUUCUGGGCGUGACAAUCAGAUAGAGGAUAGCCGAUGGAGCCGAUCUCGCUAAGGUGGCUCUACAAUCAUCUUUGGGAUUGAUCGACGUGCUGCACAAGUAUUGCCAUGAUUGAGAUGAGCUCACGGAUAGGCAAUUGUAUCUAUUAAUUAGGAUAUUGUGGGUAGUUUCCUUAGAGAUAUUUACCGGCAAGAGUCUGCCUAAAAGACUUGUCCGUAUCUUACGGUUGUAACAGAUUUAGAGUCGUGUCCGGCAAGGAUACAUUAUGUAUUUUGGGUGUAAAUAUAACCCAAGACCAUGUAUAAUGACAAAAACAAUUCAAUAACACUUUCGGCGCAUUGCCACCCUUUUCUACUUUCACUAUUUCGACGAGUUCUUGCUUUCGAGUUGGGCUGCAUCGGUUUCGAUCUCCGAUGAGAGGUAAAACUUGUCAUGGCGGCUUGCGUUCUCGGGAUUAGUGCUUACAUCUUCAUGAUACUCUAAUCUUGUUUAUGUGAAUCGUCGAGUUAUCAUAUACGCUAUAAAAUCUCAAUCAAUAUUGCUAUCUAACCCUAGAUCGGUUAAUAUCUAUUAAUAAGAAGGCGGCCGAUAGGGUUAGAUAUCAACGUUGAUCUAGUUUAUAUAGUAUAUCUACCAUCUCAAAGAGAUUUUCAUCGGUUUGUCUAGAUCUUAUGCUUCUUUUUGUACUUAAUGCUGCAUCGGUUAGGUUCGAUCUAUUAAGUAAUAUCUAGAAUUAUAAUAUCUAACUUGUUCUAUGAUUAUUGAUAGAGAUAGUAUCGGGGUUUCAGCCGAUCUUACCUGGUUUAGUUGUUUUAUUUGUUUGACAUGCUAAACUUGCCCUUUAUAUUAAGAUCUUAUUGCUUAGAAAUAUAUUAAGCUUGUUGUUUGGUAUAUUUUGUCUGUUUUAAUAUCUUAGUAUAGAUGGUAUCAGAGUAUUAGCCGAUAUAUCUUAGAUUUACCUCAUUGGCUAAGCUAUAAAUAUAUAUAAUCUUUGUCUUAAAGUACUUUUAAACAUAAGUGAUUUAUACUGUCUCGGCUCACUGUCCGAUCUAUCCCAAUCGCUUAGUUUAGACAUAUUUUUAGAAAAAGAUUAUAUAUCAUUGAUAUCUGCAGCCAAUCAAGUAGAUUUAAUUCUAUCUUGUUUAGUAUUUUAUUGCCGAUCUGGUUCACAUCACAUCGGCCUGAUAUCAAAUGAAACAUCAUCGGCAACACAGCCGAUCGGCUAUCAUUUGCGGACUUAAUUGUUCUUCUUUUAUUUCUUGUUGGUUGCAUGAUCAAACCAGCUGGCAUGCUCAAAACCCUAAAGCAAUUCUUAGGACCUGCACUGGAGCUAAGCAGAUCUCCUAGGCUAGUGUGUGUUUUUUGCAUCAACAUUUUCCUCCUUUAACCAUUCGUCACUCAUGAUGGAUGUCAGCUCCCGAACCGUUUCUUUCAGAUAUUGAUAUUCUAUCGGAUCAGGAGGUGGCAAGGGAAUAGGUGGUUUCUUUUUACUAAAAUAGUUCAAGGUGUUUCCAUAAUCUUCAUAAAGAUCAUCCCUGAACGUUGGAGCACAUCCCGGAGUUUGAAUUUCUUCGUUCUCAACAGGCAAUGGCUCGGCGGAAGGUUCCUCGGCCGAAUCGGUUGAGGUAGAUGGUUCAGACUAAGAUUCGGGUGUCGGAGGUUCCUCAAUCCUAGACACUGAUGCUUCCGGGAGGAGUUCAUUACAUUGAUCCAUGAAGGAAGUAUUUUCUAGAAUCCGAUCUAGACUUACUUUUCCUUCAGAUGGAGUUUAUUGCAUGAAUGAUCCUCCGGUAGUGAUGCCUAGAUAGAAUGCAGACUCCUUAUUAAUUCGGGGCGACUUUCAUAGCCAGUUGUAAAAAUUGGCCCCGAUGAAGGAGGUGGCUCAAAAGAUUUGCCCCGUGGAGCAGAUAGUUGAAAGAUAGAUUGUGGCUCCAUGGGUGAGAAGAGUUUUACAAGAAUACUUAUUGGGGAUAGCAGGGGUGAAGGUUGAAGAAUGAAAAGUAAAAAUGAUACGAAGAUGAACAAGGUUCGGAGAUGAACAUCAACCAUUCCCCGGCAACGGCGCCAGAAAUGUUUGUUGGUAUUUUUUAACGUCAUAGAUAAAAUCCGCAAGCACACGGAAGAUACCGAUGUAGCACUUCACCUGGAAGUAUUCCAAGGUAUCGAUUUCCCUAGGGAACGUGUGUGCUCAGCUCCUUGUCAGGUUCAUCCAAGGACACGAAGCAAAGGUAAGCAAAGGAUAGAGAGGAUUUACUAGUGAGAAAUAGUGUCUACAGAAAGCUCAGUUUAAUCCUAGUACUUCAGGCACUGGCCAGCUCGCUGCUCCUAGAUGUCACUCUACUGCGUACCCGGACAAGGAGGACUUUAGUGUAAUUGAGGGAUGUCACCACCUCUACACCCACCUCAAACCUACUGUGGGAUACGAAGCAACCACCGGAAAUUAAUUACCCUGGCACCACGUCUACACAAUUAAUUACUUUAGCGCUAGCUAAACACUAAAGCAAUCACUAUAUUUUAAAGGACUAUAGUGAACAAUGAUCCCGCACGCUAAUUAGAAACUAACCAAGAAUUAAUUCUCACCGAGUAAAUCUUAAUUACUCAGAAUGAUAAUUCUAUUAAAACAGAGUAAUUAACAAAGUAUAAGAAAUAAGAGAGGAUUACCGACAACUCCGGAAUUCCGCCAACUUCUUCUACUUUACUCUCUCCCUAAUUCUAGUAUACAAUAUAGUACAAUAGAACCUCUUAUAACUCAGCUCAAGCUUGGAGUGUGUCUGAGAAGUGAAGUGAUUAACUCCUUUUAUAGGCAAGUAUGGCGGUUACUGCUAUGCGAAUUAUUGAAAAUGUCCCGCAACCACCAUCCGGAGAGCAUCUGGAGCGUCCAUGAAAACCCUAGACUGAACGGUCGAGAUUGGAGUCCGGCCGAACCCUGGCUGGGCCCAACAGGACCAGAACUUGGCCUGUUCUCUCUCUCAGCUUGCCUUAUCCAUUUCUCAGGUAGUUGGGCCUAUUUUCUGAUGUUUCGAUGAAGUUUAAGGCCCACUCUUGUAUGGAUAGAAUUCUUGUCAUGACCGGAAUUAACCCAACGGGCGUUCCUUACGUGCGUGUAUUAUUCCUUGUCCCAGGAGGCAAGGUACACCAAAAGUUGAUACAUUUCAGAGUUUAUCAAGUGGAAGCGUAAAUAGUUAAUUUAUUACAUGGGCGGCGAAGGCCCAGCACACACAAAGACAAACGGGAAACAGCGGAAUACUAGGGCGACGACCACAGGCGCUUGACGGUAGGCACGAGCUAGACACCAAAGCCUUCAUCUUCUAGGGGCUCCUCUUCUGGGUUUGGGAAAAAUUGAGCAAGACUGAGUACAACCACCGUACUCAACAAGACACACCCACAAGUGCAGGAUAAAUGCAAGGGAGUACAAGGGGAUUAUAAUAUAAAGGGUUAGGGUUUGUAGUAAACAGCAUUAAAAGACACUUAGUUGCUCAAAGCUAUUUUGUAAACACGAUUCCAGAGCUAUACAAUAUUAUUAGUCAAGGCCGUGAACCCACACGAACCUGCCUUAACCCAAGGCCUACGAUGAUUCAGACCGAACUAGCAACCCGACCCUGGGUCCCAGCUCGUCCCAAGCAAACCCAGGCCAACCAUUCCACAUUUUAGUUGUUAAGCAUGUUUUAAGAAUUAAAACACUAACUUGGGUACAUUGCUCGGCUUGCCCAUAACCGAGGGCGCGGCUAUUCAAAUAGAUUAUACUCUGAUCAGAGGUGUACAUCUUUACCCACAAGACACAUCUUCCUCACGUGUAACCACGUGCCACAUACCACCACAGUAUACGGACGGAAGACGUGACAUAGUUUCCAACCCAUCCUAGCCAUAGACAAGAGUACCGACCCAACCCCACCUACGGCAGGACUGAGCCCCUAGCAGCAGGACACCGGCCCUGUGCCAUGACAUCUCGACUACCGGGCCGCAGCUCGUGUAGCCUUCAUUUGUCCUAGAGAUGUCCAUCGACCCCCGACUUCGUCCAUCUCCAUCCGUGUACUUUUGUUUAUAACCAGACUGAGCCACAAACUAAGCCUUACCCACUAGACAUGUGGAAGUACGGUAGUGCUUUGCAACAGAGGCCCGAAGACCGGUCCUUAUAUGGCCGAGGUGCUACUAUCAAAACCAUGCACCCCGAGCCCAGCCUAAAACCAUUUUGAGGAUUUUGAAUAGAGGGGGAGGUGUGAAUCCAAUUUCCACAAUAAUCAAACCAUUCCAUAGUGUCUAGGUGAUACGAAUAUCCCAAAGUCUAGAGUUGUAAAACCACCUAAUAUUGCCUAAUUAACCAGCGAAGCAUCUACCUAAAAUCAUAGUAGUGGUACCAUGAGUAGAGUGUCCACUAAUUGGGGUUUUGUUUAUUCUAGGGUGAACAAGGAAAUAAUAACAAUAACAAUAAUAAGGUCAUAACAAAGGUAAAUAGGCAUGGCUAGAUAAAAUAGUGAUAACGCGGGAAUUUAAAUAAAGCGAUAAUGCAAUAAUUUAAAUCAACAUAAUUUUAUAAACUGGGAUUCAAUAUGUUCAAGGAUGAUGUGACUUCAACUUCCACGAAGAGCGGAUCUUCCGAAGCUGCAGCGUCUACACGACCAACGGAAAAGAAAAGGCUUUUACUCUAAUAAACUCCAUAUAACAAGCAGGAACAAAGCACAAAAAAAGGUUCUUGACUUCUUAAGGAAAAAUUAGAGACUUGAACGGUCUAAUUCCGAGUUCGAAUGGCCAAGUUAUGGCCAUUUGAAGUUUAUAUGCUCUUUAAAUGAAUAUUUGCGAAUUUCUUCAUUUAAAUUUUAAUUUUAAAAGGGUUUAUUACGUCACCAGGGGAGGGGGCGCGCGGACCGGGUCCACGGGAGUGGGGCCCACGCGGCAGCCUCACGGUCCACGGUGGACCGGGUGCACUCGGGCUCACACCGGCCGGCGCCGUGGGUCCCACGCAUGAGCCGCACCCGAGGGCGCGGGCGGCUGACGGCCGGGCCCCACGCGGCAGCCGCUCGGUGCGCCCGAAGGCGGCCACGUCGGCGCGGCCGGCGGGAGGCGGCGCGCCCGCGCCCCUAUGGUCGCCGGCGGUGGCCAUGGGCACAUCGGAGCGGCGGCCGAGAGAGGGGAGGGAAAGGGGGAAACGAGGCGGCGGUCCACGGCUCACCCUAGGUCGACGGCGACGACGAAAAGGCAGCCGGAGCGGAGGAAGGCGGCGGCGCGGCUCGGGUCGAUGGGGACGGCGGCGCUCCGGUGGUCGACGAGCAAAACGGAGGGGUGGACGAGGUCAGCGAGGAUGCGGCGAAGCCGAAGGAGGCGGCGCCGAGGUGGGAGGUGGUCUGGGGCGACGACGGCGGUGGACCGGAGCUCGGCGGCGACGGCGGAGAGAGAGCGACGGCGCGAGCUCGAUUCCGGCGAGGAGGAAGGGCGGCGAGAGGCGGAAAUGGACGGAGGAGGUGCGGGGAGGGUUUAAAUAGGGUUGGAAGGAGGAGAGAGCAGCCCGCGGGGAAGGAAUAGGCGCGGGAGGUCCGACCGCCAUCAAUGGCGCCGGCUAGAUUUGUGGGGGCAAAUCCGCCCGUUUGAACGCGAGAGAGAGAGGGAAAAAUGGGGGGAAAGGGAGAGGGGAUCACGGGGAGUAAUUCCCCCCACUUUAUUGCACGCGGGGACGGCGGGAGGUGGCGGGAUUCGCGGCGGCGGCGGCGGCGCUAGGGCGCAGGAUAGGCGGCGGAAGUGGCGGGAGGAAGGGGAUGACGGGUGGGCCCCACCCGUCAGCGAGGGUGGCGGGCGGGCCCGCCCGUCAGCGGCGCGCGCGCGGGGAGAGGCCGGAUGGGCCGCGGGGAGAGGAGAGGGAGAUGGGCCGAGCCGGCCCAAGAGGGAGAGGGAGGGAAAGGGGACUUUUUAGAGUUUUUCUUUUUAUAAAAUCAUUUUAACUUUGUUUAUUUCUUAAUAAUUAUUAUUUGUGCUCUGAAAAUUCCACUAAAAUUUAUUUACGCAUUUUAGGCUUUUAGGAAAUAUACAAAAAUCCUCCAAGCCUUAUUUGACUUUUAACUUUGCACAAGCCUUAUUUGACUUUUAACUUUGCACAUUUUAAUUGUUGGAGGCUUUCACACGGAUUUUAAUUAUUCUAGGCAUAAUUUAGAGGAUGUAUUUCUCGCGGUUUCACGGGCACGUGUGUCGCAGUUGCGCAGGCAUGGUGCGCAUGGCUGGUGUAGACCGGGAGUGGUUACACAGCAUGGCACAUGCGCUAGCACUGGACACAUGGACGUGGCCAAGAGAGGACGUUCCUGGCCUAGGGUUGAUCGACGGGGGCGUCGAUCUCUCUUAAGGGGGUGAGGGUGUAACAUCCUGGCCUAGGGCUUAAUAGGAUUAAUAGAAUACUCAUAUCAACAAGCUGCAAUUUCUUUUCCGGAAGCCAAUCUCCAAAGAACUCUAGGGUUAAGCGUGCUUGGCCUGGAGCAAUUUGGGAUGGGUGAUCGAGCAGUUAGUAGGCUUGCGCGUGUGUUCUUCUCGUUUGUUUUUCUGCUAGAGUCGUAUGGGGCAUGGUUAUGCCGGUGUGUGGUAUAACUGUGUCGGAGCCUGUCUUUAUUUUAUUUGCUUAAGCAACUUGAACCUUAAUGAACCAAUUUAAUAGCAGUAAUAAAUUCAAGAAUUAUGGUAGUCGUGGGUGGUUAGCUUUAAUUGUCAGCUCUCUCUGUUUGCUGGUUCUGUGUGGGAUUUUCAGAUGGUGACGACCAGGAGAAGUGCUAAUACCGGUGAUGGCAACCAACCCGAAGGUAGCAACCACAACAACCAUGGCAGCCCACCUCCACCUCCUCCUCCGCCUCCACCACCACCACGAGACACCAACGCCAUCCCCACCCAAAUCCUCGCCCAGCAGGCCAACAUGAUGGCUGCUUUCCUCCACAUCCAAAAUCCGCCACAAUAUAAUGCUCCACCACCGCCCCCACAACUCUCUAAACUCGCCGAGUUCCUCCGCAUCCGUCCGCCUACCUUCUCUAGCUCCAAUAACCCCGUGGAUGCUUUGGAUUGGUUGCAUGCUGUGGGGAAAAAGUUAGACACCGUGCAGUGCAACGAUGAGGAGAAAGUCAUCUUUGCCGCUCACCAACUGCAGGGGCCCGUAUCUCUAUGGUGGGACCAUUUCCAGGCUACGCAGCCAGAAGGGCAGCCUAUUACUUGGGCCCGCUUCACCGCCGCUUUCCGGAGAACCCAUGUGCCCGCCGGAGUCAUGGCCCUUAAGAAAAGGGAAUUCCGAGAGUUGAAACAAGGCAACCGCUCUGUGAUGGAGUAUUUGCAUGAGUUUAACAACCUGGCCCGAUACGCCCCGGAGGAUGUUCGUGAAGAUGAGGAGAAGCAAGAGAAGUUCUUGGCAGGAAUGGACCCUGAGCUGUCCGUGCGUCUGGUCUCCGGGGACUAUCCGGAUUUCCAGCGUUUGGUUGACAAGAGCAUCCGCUUGGAAGCCAAGCACAAGGAACUGGAGUCGCACAAGCGUCGCUUGGCGAAUUUCCGCAAUCAACAGGGGCCUAACCAAAGGGUCCGCUACACCAAUCCCUAUCCAGGGGGAUCGUCCUCGCAGCAGCAACAGCAGCAGCAACCUCGCUCCGCGCCCCGACCUCAAUUCGUGGUGCGCGUCCCACAGCCGCAGCAACAGCAGAGUCAGCAAGGGACUCGUGCGCCCCAUCCUCCUACGCCAGCCGUGCAGCCUGGUCAAGGCCGCAAGGACGUUCAAGGUCAGCAGCGUCUGUGCUUCAACUUCUUCGAGCAUGGGCACUUUGCGGAUAAAUGCCCAAAGCCGAGGCGCCAGCAAGGCCAAGCGCCUCCCCGCCCCAACAACGGUGGUAAGGAUGUCAUUCGGGGUCGGGUGAACCACGUGACGGCCGAGGAUGUGCUGACAACUCCAGACGUCAUCGUUGGCACGUUCCUCAUUCAUUCCAUCCCUGCUACCAUUUUGUUCGACUCUGGAGCUUCCCACUCGUUUAUAUCUGUGCCAUUCGUGGGGAGAAAUCAGUUGGGGGUAGAAAGGCUUAGGAACCCUCUGCUCAUCACCACCCCUGGAGGGGUUAUGACAGCAAAGUAUUAUAGCCCUGCCGUUCCUAUAGAAAUUCAGGGAAUUCCUUUUCCCUCGGAUCUGAUUCUUCUAGACACCAAGAACUUGGAUGUGAUCCUUGGGAUGAAUUGGUUGGCUCAAUUCCAAGGAGUAGUGGAUUGUGCAAGACGCACUGUCACUCGGUACCGAGGGCCGGAACAACCGGUUGUUUUCUUUGCUCCCCCAACCUCUGUCGGUAGUUCAGAACUUCAUCAGAUAGGACUGUCAGAAAUCCCCAUCGUCAGAGAGUUCGGAGACGUGUUUCCGGAAGAACUACCCGGUAUGACGCCGAAGCGAGAGAUUGAGUUCCGGAUAGAUCUUGCUCCAGGAACCACUCCCCUGUACAAGCGACCCUACCGUAUGGCAUCAAAUGAACUGGCCGAAGUCAAGAAACAGUUGGAAGAGUUGAAAGAAAAGGGGUAUAUACGGCCGAGUACUUCCCCCUAGGGUGCUCCUGUGAUUUUUGUGGAGAAGAAAGACAAGACAAAGAGGAUGUGCAUUGACUACAGAGCUCUCAAUGAAGUUACCAUCAAAAACAAGUACCCUCUUCCCUGGAUCGAUGAUCUGUUCGAUCAGCUUAAAGGUGCCACUGUAUUCUCCAAUAUUGAUCUUCGUUCCGGAUAUCACCAAUUACGUAUUCGUGAAGAAGAUAUCCCUAAGACCGCAUUCACCACGCGAUACGGACUGUAUGAAUUCACGGUGAUGUCGUUCGGUUUAACCAAUGCUCCUGCCUUCUUCAUGAACUUAAUGAACAAAGUGUUCAUGGAAUACUUGGAUAAGUUUGUUGUGGUUUUCAUUGACGACAUUCUGGUGUACUCACAAUCAGAGGAAGACCAUCAGCACCAUCUCCGUCUGGUGUUGGGAAAGUUGCGGGAACAUCAAUUGUAUGCCAAGCUUAGCAAGUGUGAGUUCUGGUUUUCCGAAGUCAAAUUCUUAGGGCACGUGAUAUCUGCUAAAGGAGUCGCUGUGGACCCCGAAACAGUGACCGCCGUCACUGAUUGGAAGCAACCCAAGACAGUCACUCAAAUUCGCAGCUUUUUGGGUUUGGCCGGGUACUACCGAAGAUUCAUCGAGAAUUUCUCCAAAAUUGCCAGACCCAUGACGCAGUUGCUGAAGAAGGAAGAAAAAUUUGUGUGGAGCCCGCAAUGUGAGAAAGCGUUCCAAACUCUCAAAGAAAAGCUGGUUUCCUCGCCAGUGUUAAUCUUACCGAAUACUCGCAAGGACUUCCUGGUGUACUGUGACGCUUCGCGCCAAGGAUUGGGGUGUGUGCUCAUGCAGGAAGGUCAUGUGGUAGCCUAUGCCUCCCGGCAGCUUCGGCCUCAUGAAGGCAACUACCCUACCCAUGAUUUGGAGUUAGCCGCUGUGGUUCAUGCUCUAAAAAUCUGGCGGCAUUAUCUCAUUGGGAAUCGCUGCGAAAUAUAUACUGAUCAUAAGAGUUUUAAAUACAUCUUCACUCAGUCGGAUCUGAAUCUUCGGCAGAGGAGAUGGUUAGAACUCAUCAAGGAUUAUGAUGUGGGAAUUCACUAUCAUCCUGGUAAGGCCAACGUGGUCGCCGACGCUCUAAGUCGAAAGAGCCAUUGCAACACUCUUGACGUCCGUGGCAUUCCACCCGAACUUAAUCAACAGAUGGAAGCCCUGAACCUAAGCAUAGUUAGUCGUGGAUUCUUGGCUACGCUGGAAGCCAAGCCUACCUUGCUCGAUCAAAUCUGCGAGGCUCAGAAGAAUGAUCCGGAUAUGCGUGGACUCCUCAAGAAUAUGAAACAGGGUAAAGCCGCUGGUUUCACAGAGGAUGAACACGGAACCCUAUGGAACGGAAAUCGGGUAUGCCUUCUAGACGACAGAGAACUUAAACAGUUGAUACUUCAGGAAGCUCACGAAAGCCCUUAUUCCAUCCACCCUGGCAGUACGAAGAUGUACUUAGACUUGAAAGAGAAAUACUGGUGGGUUAGUAUGAAGCGGGAAAUUGCAGAGUUCGUGGCCCUUUGUGAUGUGUGCCAGCGUGUCAAGGCAGAGCACCAACGACCGGCCGGUCUUCUCCAACCUCUCCAAGUACCAGAAUGGAAAUGGGAUGAAAUUGGGAUGGAUUUCAUCACCGGACUUCCAAAAACCCAAGGCGGAUAUGAUUCUAUAUGGGUAAUUGUGGACCGACUAACCAAGGUAGCUCGGUUUAUUCCUGUGAAGACCACCUAUGGAGGGAACAAACUAGCCGAGCUCUACUUCGCUAGGAUCGUGAGUCUCCAUGGCGUUCCUAAGAAAAUUGUAUCUGAUAGGGGAAGCCAAUUCACUUCUCACUUUUGGAAGAAGCUCCAAGAAGAGCUGGGUACCCGAUUAAAUUUCAGCACCGCGUAUCACCCGCAGACAGAUGGACAGACCGAGCGUCUAAAUCAGAUCCUAGAAGAUGUGCUUCGCGCAUGUGUCCUAGAUUUCGGGAAGACCUGGGAUAAGAGUCUCCCCUAUGCCGAGUUCUCCUACAAUAACAGCUACCAAGCCAGCAUACAAAUGGCACCCUAUGAAGCGUUGUAUGGACGCAAAUGCCGGACACCGCUAUUGUGGGACCAAGUUGGGGAAAGCCAAGUGUUCGGGACUGAUAUCCUGACAGAAGCUGAAGCUAAAGUCAGAACCAUUCAGGAUAAUCUAAAGGUGGCACAGUCCCGGCAGAAGAGUUAUGCAGAUAACCGACGCCGUAAUCUGGAAUUCGCAGUGGACGAUUUUGUGUACCUUCGGGUCACGCCAUUGCGAGGUGUACACAGGUUUCAGACGAAAGGGAAGCUCGCACCUUGGUUUGUGGGUCCUUUCCGUAUCAUUGCUCGACGCGGGGAAGUCGCUUACCAGUUGGAGCUGCCCGCCUCCUUGGGCAACGUGCAUGAUGUGUUCCAUGUGUCGCAACUCAAGAAAUGUCUUCGAGUGCCAUCCGAGCAGGCCGAUUCAGAGCAAAUUGAAGUUCGCGAAGACUUGACCUACGUGGAGAGGCCAGUGAAAAUCCUGGACACCAUGGAGCGCAGGACCAGGAACCAGGUAAUCCGUUUUUGCAAGGUCCAAUGGAGCAACCACGCUGAGGAAGAAGCUACUUGGGAGCGUGAAGACGAGAUGAAAGCAGCCCAUCCCGAUCUCUUCGCCAGUUCUUCCGAAUCUCGGGGUCGAGAUUCCGUUUAAGGGGGGUAGGUUUGUCACGUCCCAAAACGACUCUAAAAUACAUCCUCUAAAUUAUGCCUAGAAUAAUUAAAAUCCAUGUGAAAGCCUCCAACAAUUAAAAUGUGCAAAGUUAAAAGUCAAAUAAGGCUUGGAGGAUUUUUGUAUAUUUCCUAAAAGCCUAAAAUGCGUAAAUAAAUUUUAGUGGAAUUUUCAGAGCACAAAUAAUAAUUAUUAAGAAAUAAACAAAGUUAAAAUGAUUUUAUAAAAAGAAAAACUCUAAAAAGUCCCCUUUCCCUCCCUCUCCCUCUCCUUUCCCCGCGGCCCAUCCGGCCUCUCCCCGCGCGCGCGCCGCUGACGGGCGGGCCCGCCCGCCACCCUCGCUGACGGGUGGGGCCCACCCGUCAUCCCCUUCCUCCCGCCGCUCCCGCCACCUCGCCCGCGCCCUAGCGCCGCCGCCGCCGCGAAUCCCGCCGCCUCCCGCCGUCCCCGCGUGCAAUAAAGAGGGGGGAAAUCACUCCCCGUGAUCCCCUCUCCCUUUCUCCCCAUUUUUCCCUCUCUCUCUCGCGUUCAAACGGGCGGAUUUGCCCCCGCAAAUCUCGCCGGCGCCAUUGAUGGCGGCCGGACCUCCCGCGCCUAUUCCUUCCCCACCGGCCGCUCUCUCCCCCUUCCAACCCUAUUUAAACCCUCCCCGCACCUCCUCCGUCCAUUUCCGCCUCUCGCCGACCUUCCUCCUCGCCGGAAUCGAGCUCGCGCCGUCGCUUUCUCUCCGCCGUCGCCGCCGAGCUCCGGUCCGCCGCCGUCGUCGCCCCAGACCACCUCCCACCUCAGCGCCGCCUCCUUCGGCUUCGCCGCAUCCUCGCCGACCUCGUCCACCCCUCCGUUUCGCUCGUCGACCGCCGGAGCGCCGCCGUCCCCGUCGACCCGAGCCGCGCAGCCGCCUUCCUCCGCUCCGGCUGCCUUUUCGUCCUCGCCGUCGACCUAGGGUGAGCCGUGGACCGCCGCCUCGUUUCCCCCUUUCCCUCCCCUCUCUCGGCCGCCGCUCCGAUGUGCCCAUGGCCGCCGCCGGCGACCAUAGGGGCGCGGGCGCGCCGCCUCCCGCCGGCCGCGCCGACGUGGCCGCCUUCGGGCGCACCGAGCGGCUGCCGCGUGGGGCCCGGCCGUCAGCCGCCCGCGCCCUCGGGUGCGGCUGACACGUGGGACCCACGGCGCCGGCCGGUGUGAGCCUGAGUGCACCCGGUCCACCGUGGACCGUGAGGCUGCCGCGUGGGCCCCACUCCCGUGGACCCGGUCCGCGCGCCCCCUCCCCUCGGCUGACGCAAUAAACCCUUUUAAAAUUAAAAUUUAAAUGAAGAAAUUCGCAAAUAUUCAUUUAAAGAGCAUAUAAACUUCAAAUGGCCAUAACUUGGCCAUUUGAACUCGGAAUUGGACCGUUCAAGUCUCUAAUUUUUCCUUAAGAAGUCAAGAACCCAUUUUUGUGCUUUGUUCCUGCUUGUUAUAUGGAGUUUAUUAGAGUAAAAGCCUUUUCUUUUUCGUUGGUCGUGUAGACGCUGCAGCUUCAGAAGAUCCGCUCUUCGUUGAAGUUGAAGCCGACGUUUGGGAAAGCGAGCAAGGCAAGUCACAUCAUCCUUAAACAUAUUGAAUCCCAGUUUAUAAAAUUAUGUUGAUUUAAAUUAUUGCAUUAUCGCUUUAUUUAAAUUCCCGCGUUAUCACUGUUUUAUCUAGCCAUGCCUAUUUACCUUUGUUAUGACCUUAUUAUUGUUAUUGUUAUUAUUUCCUUGUUCACCCUAGAAUAAACAAAACCCCAACUAGUGGACACUCUACUCAUGGUACCACUAGUAUGAUUUUAGGUAGAUGCUUCGCUGGUUAAUUAGGCAACAUUGGGUGGUUUUACAACUCUAGACUUUGGGAUAUUCAUAUCACCUGGACACUAUGGAAUGGUUUGAUUAUUGUGGAAAUUGGAUUCACACCUCCCCCUCUAUUCAAAAUCCUCAAAAUAGUUUUAGGCUGGGCUCGGGGUGCAUGGUUUUGAUAGUAGCACCUCGGCCAUAUAAGGACCGGUCUUCGGGCCUCUGUUGCAAAGCACUACCGUACUUCCACAUGUCUAGUGGGUAAGGCUUAGUUUGUGGCUCAGUCUGGUUAUAAACAAAAGUACACGGAUGGAGAUGGACGAAGUCGGUGGUCGAUGGACAUCUCUAGGACAAAUGAAGGCUACACGAGCUGCGGCCCGGUAGUCGAGAUGUCAUGGCACAGGGCCGGUGUCCUGCUGCUAGGGGCUCAGUCCUGCCUACCUGUCCCGGGGGUUCCGGCCAUAGGUGGGGUUGGGUCGGUACUCUUGUCUAUGGCUAGGAUGGGUUGGAAACUAUGUCAUGUCUUCCGUCCGUAUACCGUGGUGGUAUGUGGCACGUGGUUACACGUGAGGAAGAUGUGUCUUAUGGGUAAAGAUGUACACCUCUGAUCAGAGUAUAAUCUAUUCGAAUAGCCGCGCCCUCGGUUAUGGGCAAGCCGAGCAAUGUACCCAAGUUAGUGUUUUAAUUCUUAAAACCUGCUUAACAACUAAAAUGUGGAAUGGUUGGCCUGGGUUGGCUUGGGACGAGCUGGGACCCAGGGUCGGGUUGCCAGUUCGGUCUGAAUCAUCGUAGGCCUUGGGUUAAGGUAGGUUCGUGUGGGUUCACGGCCUUGACUAAUAAUAUUGUAUAGCUCUGGAAUCGUGUUUACAAAAUAGCUUUGAGCAACUAAGUGUCUUUUAAUGCUGUUUACUACAAACUCUAACCCUUUAUAUUAUAACCUCCUUGUACUCCCUUGCAUUUAUCCUGCACUUGUGGGUGUGUCUUGUUGAGUACGGUGGUUGUACUCAGUCUUGCUCAAUUUUUCCCAAACUCAGAAGAGGAGCCCCUGGAAGAUGAAGGCUUUGGUGUCUAGCUCGUGCCUGCCGUCAAGCGCCUGUGGUCGUCGCCCUAGUCUUCCGCUGUUUCCCGUUUGUCUUUGUGUGUGCUGGGCCUUCGCCGCCCAUGUAAUAAAUUAACUAUUUACGCUUCCACUUGAUAAACUCUGAAAUGUAUCAACUUUUGGUGUACCUUGCCUCCUGGGACAAGGAAUAAUACACGCACGUAAGGAACGCCCGUUUGGUUAAUUCCGGUCGUGACAAUUCUUCCUUCACUUAAGUCUUGAUUUCAUCCCAACUUUGGAUUUCAUCCAAAUAUGUAUCAACACUCAUGGAAUAUGUUAGAAUUAAACCCUACCACUAUGUUGGAUGUCUUAUUAACUAUGUUUUAUCUAGGUAUUGGCGGCAUAGAAUUGGCAUUUAACAGCAGCCAACAGUAGUGAGUAAGCCAGUGCCUGAAGUAUAGACCAUGUUCCUCAAUAGGAAAUCCUCUCUACCCUUUUCCUAUAUCUGCCUUGUGUCCUUGGAUGAAACUAGAGAAGAGUUAAGCACACACAUUAGCUUUAGAAAUCGAUACCUUGGAAUACUCCCGGGUGAAGUGCUACAUCAGUAUCUCCAUGCGCUUGUAGAUUUUAUCCGUGAGCGUUAAGAAAUACCAACAAACAUGACACGACGAUGCAACACAAAACUCAACAAAGCAAAAACUAAAAAAAACAAUGCAGCGGGCACAAAGAUGGCUAGGUAAUGGAUCCAAUAUUUUUUAUGGCUAUAUUCUGGUUAUAGGUGGAUAAAAAAAACUCACCAAGCAAAUACCACUUGAUAAACCAUGAGUUCCACUCAAGACACUCAUGGCUAUGAUUGGCCUGAUCAUUCAGUGAGUUGGUGAUAACUACGAUUUGGGUAAAUGUUGAUGAUCCGACUAAAACCGUACAAGACGUUGUUUUGUUGCGCCUUAGAGAUCGAUACACCUCUUCGUGGGUUGUUGAUAUUGACGGUUGUCAGGGUUAUGGAUACCACAUACCAAUAGUAAUCGACUAAGCUCGGCAAGGCUCACCACAUACCAUGUCUUAUACGGAAACAAACCUCGUAUAUAGAAGGAGUUCCGAAUAAGGAAGGACAAGAAGAGUUCUACAUGGAAACGACAAGGACUACUCAGAUCAUAUCCAUAUUUAUCUCCGUAUUCUUACUUGGACAAGGGGUUAUCUAUGGGUAUAAAUACAAGCCACCCUAGGAGGAUAGGGGAGAGGCCACAAGGGCACAAAGCCACAAAGCCACAAAGCCACAAGCCAACUGUAACAUACCCAAAUUCUAGGAUUAAGGAAUUUUCUUCAAAACUAGUUGAAAGGAAAGUUCUUCAAUUUUGUGAACCAAAAAUUUCCAUUUUAAAACCUAGGUGAAGUUGAUCUAACUUAUACUGAAGUAAAAUUUGAGAACAAAUUAAAACAUUUUCAUCUUUAACCUAUACCAUAGAUGCAAAAACAAGUGAAAGCAUGCAUACUCGCUUACAUCAUGUUUUGACUUAAGUCCUUCUUAUGCAUUUGGAUGUUUGUUUUGCAUUUCAUAAUAGAUCUCAUGAAUGAUAACUAAGAUCUAGAUAAACAACCAAACCAUUAAGGCCUAGUGCUAGCUAGAGGAAGUUAAAAUAGAAACCAUACACCUUAAAAUAUAUCAACAAGGCCAAUGUCAAGCCCCACAAAACUAAUUUGGUCAUCCAUCUGAAGACAAGUCAUGUACAUGGAAGUGAACAAAUAAAUUAACUCAUAUAGGGUAUAUUCUAUCUUAAUCAUCUCGAUAAGCAUUCUCUUAAUUUAAUACUAAAGUAAACUUAUACAUAAAUUGGUAAGGAGUUUGUGACAUAUGUAAGGUAAACUGCAAUUCUAACAUAUCAACAUCACCUCAGGUUAAGAAGAGUCCAAAUAUAACUUUUAUAAACAUUUAGAUGCAUUUAGGAAAGGGAAACACAUAUAAGAGAUAAGUCUUGCUAAUUAUCUAAAAUAAUUCGUGCAAGAUAAAACCAUGGGAAAAUUCAUGAAGGCUCUAUUUAACAUAUACAACUCAUUGUAAUUUUGGUAAGAUUUAAUAACUAAAUUUGGUACAUCAAAUAAAUAAGUCAACCCAGUUAAAUAAUAGACUAAUUAAAAUUCCUAAUUGGCUAAAACCAUACUUUGUUUAAAAGUGCAUUUAACUUCAUGGGAGUGUAUAGGGGAAACAAUUUAUUCAAAUACUAGGCCAUUUAUUAUGAAUAUAUAUAAUUUUUCCAGAAUUUAUCUUCUCUGUUUAUGUCUCCUGAAAAUUCAAACAGUUUCCAUUGAGCCUAUCUUCUUUUAAUUUCUGUGUGCAAUCUAUCCAUAAUUCGUGAGUGCAAUCAAAGAAAAUGGAAACUAGGUACAUUCAUCUACUUCAGUAAAAUCCACAUGAAUUGAUCUGUACCACAAAUUAAUAUAUGAAUUAACAAAGAUGGGUAAGAGAAAUAAUCCUGAAAAUUUGUCCAAAAUCGCUUGCACCCAAUUAUCUACCCAUCCCUCACACCCCCACCUAGCUUACACCGACCUGGACCCACCUGACAGCCUCCUUGGCUUGCCCUUCCUCUGUGCAACUUCUCUAGCCGACCAGAACUGAGAAAGAGACCGAGCCGACAGCCCUCGGGCACGUUCGAUGCGUGGCCACGACGUGUCGACGCCCUAAAAACGCCGAGCUCCAUCUCUGCCUCUCCCAGACGCGUCGCCACUCUUCACCCACCAUUCCAGGGCAGAUCCAACCGAGGGAGAGCAUCCUUGCUGCCCUUCUCCACCGUUUCUCCAUCGCCGGCCGCGAAGAAGACGAUAGCCACAUUCGUUAAUGAGCCGCGGUCGUUUCCUCUUCUUUUGCGUUCCAAAACCUACUCUCAAUGCCAUCUCUAUUUCAUCUAAUUUCAUCCCAUUCUAUGCAGUGGUUGAGCGGGAAUGCCACCGUGCCCACAAACGCCCUGGAGCGCACAACGAUGACCGCUGUCGGGUUCUUGUCGUCGUUCCGACCAAACUGAACCACCCCAAGCCGAACCCUUGCGCCACCAGAAUCGCCUAGACGUCCUCUUCAAGAUACUCCUAGAACCUCAUGGAUCGGUGAAUCGAGGAGGGAGAUCGGCGUCAUCUUCUCCAACUCCGGCCGCCGGCGUCGAUCUUCGAUUCCUUGAUCCCGGGUGAGCUUCGGCGCAAUUCCUGACUCGUGUAGCAUCUUUAGUUGGUCUUUGAGCCGUUCCACUCUUUUUCUUGGCAACCCGGAGUUCGGAUGGUGGUUGUCACCGUUGCUAUGCUGAUUUCCGCCGCCGCCGGGACAUCCUCUACAUCAUCGUCGCUGUCCAGGCCUACCCGUAGCGCAUCCGAGCUUCGGUGAGCAACCUGCAGCCUAUAGAACAUACAUGCAUGCAUCCCUUUGGGUACAUCCUAUUGGGAUACGCGUAGGCUACGAUAGCAUAAAUCAAAAUUUUCUAUCGCGUAAACCAGGAACCAUGCAGGUAUUAGAUCAUAGAUCGUUACCAUUCGAUGCGCUGCACAGCGGAAAAGACGCUGAGAAGUCGAAGGAAUUCUCGCGAAUUAGCGCGUCGAUGUAGAGAAAGUAGUCGAUCGCACCGGCUCGACCUUCUCCUCCUCGUGCGUUCUCCUCGCCGUACUCCCACGCCGAUCAGCACCGCAAACCAGCGGCGCCUCUACCGGUAUCCACACGUACAGGGACGGAACGCCACGCGCAGAUGUGCUAGCACUAGCGCGCGGCUAGGGUUUUGCUCGGGGAGGGAAGUGACGGCUAGGGUUUCUCACGUGAUGCAAUGCCUCCGCCGGUCACACCCCUCACGAAUAUAUAGGAUCCAUCACUCGGGCCUCCAAGGCCCGUAGGACUCCUAUUCGGAUCCCUAUCCGAAUUAAGCACAUAUUGGAUCUCCAUCCAAUCCCCUUAUUCCGGCCCAUUAAGCGUGCAACUCUGUAGGUUCAUAUAUACUCGGCUUUAACCCGAAAACUCCUUUUCGGUCCACGCGUCAACAGCGGCCCCUAGCAGAACGUAUUGACCCACCGGGUAUAAAUAAAGAUCAUAUCGGCUGAACCUCUAGUGUAUACUUGUAUGAACCCCUUUGCCUCACGAUAUGGAUUAAGCUUAAGGCUAGAUAUGUGCCAUCCUCUAAUAGCUCAAUCAUUCAUUCGAACCUGUUGAUAGAUUAUAUAACUUGUGAUUGACUCCUCAAUCAUCUUUGGCAUGGCCAUGCACUUCCAUAAUCUACAACAUCGAGGGGUCCAGAGAUAUCUCUCCAUAGGAGGAGCAAAUCCCAUCUUGAUUAUUCAUAUCCCACUACAUGUUUCAUAGCAUACCCGGAAACUACUUUUAUAAUUACCCAAUUACGGAGUAGCGUUUAGCAGUCCCUAAGUAAGCUACUAUACAUGUUGGGAACCAUGAUAAUCUCAGGUCUAAAAAUUCAACACCAACACUAAAUGAGAUCACUGAUGACACAACACAUAUGGCUCUUCCAGUGUCUCAUGUUGGGUCUAUCCAACAACAUGUUCAGCAACAUGUGUCCACAUUAUUAAUUUGGUAUCUCUAUACCAUGAUCCAUGAGACAUGAUCAUCAAUUAAUACAUGUGCUGAUCAUAUAAACAUAUUUGUUCCAUAUAUGAUAUUUGAUCAGGGAUCCUUUAAAAAUAGUAACAAACAACAUAAAUAGUGUCAUGAAAGAAUCACAUAUUCAUUAACCAAUAAUGAGUUAUCUAUUUUAAGGAAUAAUAUCGAAUAAAUAUGUAAACAUAGUAUGUGAUACAAUCAUCUCUAUGAUUGCCUCUAGGGCAUAUCACUAACACAUCCAGUCGAUAGCACGACAUGCACCACCACCCGAAAACAUCCUCUGCUCGGACUCACCGCUGGCGCUGCUUCAAUGUCCGCUAUCUGAGAAAUGUAUAGGAAUGAAAUCGCAAUAACAUGAUCUUCAUUUUGUGUAUUGGUCGCACCCCCAAACGAGCCAUCGUUUGUCGCCGGCGAGCUCGAGAUCGAGCUCGGCCAUGGCGCUCUGUUCUGUCCAGGUCGCAGGACUUCGUGUUGAGAAUUUAAACAAACAUAAGGUUCAAUAUGAAAACAUACUAAACACUGACAUAUGGGCCUAAGACUGCGGGUUGGUUUCUAGAAAUCUCAAGGGCUUUUUUGCAUAUUGGCCGUAUGACUGUUAGCGGACCCCUAGAAACAAAAUCUGAGAUUAUAUAAGAAAAGUACCUAAAACUUGUAAAAAUCCAUAUAAAAUCAAAUAUAACUCAUUUUGAGAUGAUUCAAGUUUCUGUGAACUCAUAUAAGGAUGAACUUUAAUGUUAUGAAAUGAAAACUUACACUUGCAGUACAAAUUUCACCUCUAAAAUUUAUUUAAGAAAAAAUAUACAUAAAGCAUGCACAAACUUAUAAAAUGCAUACAAAAUUCAUCUCAACUCAUUUUAGGGUAAAUUCACAUUUCACGGAAUCAUCAAUUUGUUGUCCACUGUAAAGUGAAAUAAAAUAAUAUACUUACUUUGUACCUAAUGCCUCUAAAACUAUUAUCUUUAAAAUGAAUAGUUUUAGAUAUAUAAGCUGAACUUUAGAAGUUUAUAUAAAAUUCAUGUUAGAUCGUUUUUGAGUAAACCCAACUUAUGUAGAGUCACCAAAACAUAUACUUCUAAUUUGUAAAAUAAAAUCAUAUACUUACUUUGUAAUAAAAGCCUCUAAAUAUUUAUGUAAUUAAUAACCAACGUAGAGCAACCUUUAAUUUGUAAAAUUUGUAGAAAAUUCAUCUUUAUUUUAAAUGAAGUGAACCAAAUUUCUAUAGGACCAGAAAGUAAUGUACUUCAACCUAGUAGAGUGGAAUAUGGCACCCUCUGUUCAUACCAUAGCUCUAAACCUUAAUUUGGUAGUAUAGGUACUUAACACAUAAUAGUGGUUAAACAAUACAUAUCAAUAAGUAUAUAUAUGCAUGGUAGCUCCAAAUAAUUCCAAAUAAAACUUGUUAGGACCAGUGGAUCCAUAGUUCCAUCCCCAUCCACCAUAACUUAGAAGAACUUAGCUCAUAUAAUAAUUUCUAUAAUAAUUUCUAGAUUGAUAUAAUAUAUUGCUAGCAUAGACUAGAGCUCCCCUAGUUUAUAAGAAUAUGAACCAUGAUAAUAAAGACCAUAAGCUUAUGAACUAAGGUUAGAUUAGUUAACUAAAAUACUCAUUUUGUACAUCACUAGCUAGAUGAGGCAAGUUAUGGACCUAAACCUCUAAAGCCAUGAACCUAUAUAACACUAUACACCUAUAUACACCUAUAACACGUUAUAACCUGUAAAAUACAUAAAGAAUUCACAUUAACUCUAAAAAUUGUGAAAUCAAAUGUGUUAGUCUUAGAAAACAUAUAUCUUCACCCUAGCAAACAUAAACUUAAUAAGAAUCACCUUACAAGAGCAUUUCACAAUAGUACCUAAGUAAAUCCUAUACUAUACCGACGAAAACUUCUAAAAUUCAUAACUCUCAAAUGAAAUGAGAUAAAAUAGAAAUUCUUUCACCUAAAUUCAUUUUAGACCAGUACCUAUUUACUGUGCACAAAUCAUGCAUUUUAGAGCAUUUUGAAUUUUUCACAUAUUUCGGUGUUUAAUUACAUAACGUGUACUUUGUAUAGAUGAUUGCUCAAACGGUGAAGAAGUGAAUUAGGUGCUGACAUUUUCCAGUUACAAGGCAAGUCCCACCUCCCUCUCUUUGAUCACAUUGAACCUAUGUUUUGGAGGUUAUUGAAAAUGUUUGAAAAUCUUGCAUGUCGAUUGUACACUAAUAAACUAAAAUCUUGUUAAACUUGUUAGACAAACCCCUACUAGUUGCAUUAUCACCUUAACUCCACAUAUAACCAUAUCCCUCAUUCGUAACCUUUGGAACAAUAUGACUAUACCACUUUAUAUAUGAGUUUUGGAGUCACUAGAUUACUAUAAUGCUUAGCCAUGCUUAGAAUGGUCUUCCUUGUCAUUAUGGGCUCAUUACAAACAUGAAAAUUGAUUUUUAAAUAAUCUGGACAGAACUUUAAUACUUGUGAUUUUGAUAAAUAAAAUGAUGGAAAACAUGGAUUUUAGGUUUGGGCCUCAAGUGGUGCACAUAUGGUGAUUAGUUGAGUACCGAUAGGGGGAGAGUGUGCCCAAACCGACCUAAGGGCUUCACUCAAUGUCAGUUCAUUUCGUAUACAGUACAACCACAUGUGCUAGUAUGGGAUAGCCCAAGCUUAGUAAAUUAUUUAUGGUUCAGCCUUACAUUCUAGUAGGCCGGUGUGUAUGAGUUCGGAUAACUCAGAGAAACUUCCUAUUUACCCCGACGUGGUAGUUUAGGUGACUAAGUCUAUCCAAUACAACCAUAUUGUGCCACGUGGGUGGGUUCCCGUUAUGUCCGCCACCACGGUGUUAAGUUUAAGAUGUGGGCCCACCACUUAACGGUUCUAGGUCAUAUAACGUGUAUGGCUUAGGAUGGAGUAACACGUAUCGUGUUGGUGUAAGGCUAAAUCAUGAAUUUUGGAAAAGCUUUGUUGUGAGUAAUAAAUCGGAUACUUAUGAAUCGCGUGCCAUGCUCUUGCAUGAUUAUUAUUUCGCAUCAUGUGGGUAAAGUGUACAAACUCUGCAGAGUAAAAACUAAUCGAUUAGCCGUGCUCGCGGUCAUGAACAGCGUGUGGAUAUGUAUUGAGUAUAGACUUGUGUUUAUUCUUCUAAAUGUUGAAUUUACCUUCAAAUUAUGUUGAGAUUUCAGAAUGAUCUCCUUGCUGCCAUGGAUGGCAAUGAGGUGCAUAUUUAUACAUGAUUAAUGCCUACUUUGAUGCCCAUAUGUUAAGUACUAGCUUGCUGAAAUUUAUUUGAAAGAAAAUCUGAUUUGAAUGUGUUUUAUGCAAAUAAAACUUGCUUUAUGCUAAAAAGAACCAUCCUUGAUUAUAUGCCUUGCAAGUAGGGUGUUAGGUUUGUCUUGGUACUUGCCAGUGCAUUAUUUCUAAUAAUGUACUGACUCUUGCCAUUGAAUUAACCUUUUGCUUGCAGGUUUUAGAUUUAAUAUUUGAGUGAUGCGGGUAAUCGACUGCUUCUUCUAGGAUUUGAACUUAAUGGGGUAAACCCCUAGUCGGUGUGUUUAUGGAUUGGGUAGAUAAGCUUCCGCUGUUCUAUAUAUUUAUUUGGUCGGUCGGCCUAUGUAUCUCUAAGUUAGAUGUAAUUUUAAUCGCUUUCAUCUUAUUUGUGUUUGCUAUGUAUGUCCAUGCUUAAGAUGAAAGUGUGAAUCUAGUGCACAUCCUCAGAACUAGAUUCACAUGAGUAUGAGUUCAGAAUAUUUGAGAUGUUGUAGAUAUUUAGCCAUUUUUAUCAAGUCUCCUGAAUGUGUAACACAUCUUGUCACCGCCUUCGAGUGGUUUGACGGGCACAUCUCAGACUGAAGUUGACUCAGACUGAAGUUCACUGGCAGGCUAAAGGCCCAGCAAUGUCUCCAAUAUUCCUCUCUCGAGGCGUCGGCUACUUCAUUAUGCUUGUUUAAUGACUUGAAUUAUUCACUUCAUCUCUUAAUUAUAAUGGAAGGUCUGGAGAGCCUACGACACCAACACAAGUCGUCGGAUAUUGACAUCAAAGAUUAGCCUAGCCAUACCCCAUUUGGUGCCUACGGAAGCCGACAAGAGGGAUCUAGCGCCAUCUCUGAUCUCGUCGAGUAUAGAUUCAAUAAGGAAGACUACCCUAUCGUCGACUACGAGUUGGUGAUCUAUCCGUCAAGUCGACGACAGCUAGAUAUAUUAUCCUAAAUAUUGUAUCUGUGUGAUCCAGAUGAAUAAAGAGCAACACCGGCUUCGGCCAACAGGAUGUAGGGCUAUUACCUGUAAGAUAAGGGCCCGAACCUGUAUAAAAAUCCCUGUCUCCAUCUCUUUUACCUCAAUCUCGCAUAUACCCUGGUACCAACGAUCCCUAUACCAUCUAAAUACCGUAAUCGCGAUAUCAAAUGUCGACAGUGGCGCGCCAGGUAGGUGGAGUGAUCCCUAUACCAUCUAAAUACCGUAGUCGCGAUAUCAAACAUCGAUAGUGGCGCGCCAGGUAGGGGGAGUUUGGUGCUUCAAGGUUUCGAUGAAAUUGGUUCAAGAGAUGGAUUCUCUAACACCAAACUACUCGACAACUUCGGUUAUGGGGGACUGGGGAGAUCUAAUCCGACCGAAGUAUGUCUUCCGACGAGAUCGGAACCAUCGUCGCCGCAGCUGAAGACAUCUGUUCAGUAUUAUCGACCAUCGGUGAUCUCGAGGAUGUUGCUGACACCAUGGGAGACCGGAAUUGACUACUACACUGAUCGAUUUCCUGGCUAACGCGUGCUUUGGUCGGACACAAUAACAGGCCGGACGGAUAGGUGAAUGACAGGUGCCUGUCACUCCACGUGAUAGGAAACCAUGUGUUAAUCUACUCAGGCCGGAUAUAUUGCUGCCCAAAAUCACCACGGCGUAAUCUACUGAACAACAAGACAACGAGUCAACGUGCUUACUCCUGACAUGUACACGUGCAUAUGCAUGGACUCAGUACGUGCCCAGGCGUGCACGUGUACCUGCAGAGAAGACCAAUAUGGCUGCCUAAAGUGCAAUGCGUUGACUAUUCAGAUAAAUCACAUCUAUCCACGAUCAGAUCAUAUAAUAUUGAGACCAAUAAUUUAUUAUAUUUACCUAGAGCAUGUUUUUUAUACAUAUCUAUUGUGCGAAUGUUUCCGAUGAUUGGCCAACUACGGUUUAAUGCUGGGGCUCGCUCUAUUUUCUUUAGUAUAAAUCAUACUUGUUUACGGUUUACGUAAUACCUAAUAUUUAAUCUGCUCGUUAUAUCCUAAUAAUACUAGAAGAGUCAUGCAGUUUUUUUGAGUACAUACUCGAUAUUCUCUGUUAUAUAUCUUGUCUUCUAGAAAAUAUUUUUCAGAAACAAUUGAGCACUCGAGUAGGUUGUGGUCGAGUACACCCCAUUGUCGAGAACUUUCUCGAUAAAGGCUAAGUCGUCGUACCCAACCUACCAACGAAGACUGACGACUUAUCUCAUGUAUAGCGCCGGCCACGCCCGGACUAUUGGAGAAUAUGUCGUUAACGGAUAAUCCCUCACAAAUAACGUCGGUUUGAUCACCCGACAUGAUUGCAAAUAGACAUCCGGAUAUGCUAUAUGUUGGGUAUGUGAGUCAUGCUGGCCACAUGAGAUGCAUGUAAUCACCAACUCUAGCGCCCCUCCAGGUGAUCGAGAUAUGCCUACACUUAGUUCUCGACUAGUCGAUCGUAGCGAUCUCUUACCACCUAAAAAUUCAUAGGUGAUCGAGAUACGCUUACACCUGGUUCUUGACCAGUAGAUCGUAGCGACCUCUCACCACCUAAAAAUUCAUAGGUGAUCGACAUAUGCCUACACCUGGUUCUCGACCGGUAGAUCGUAGCGAUCUCUCACCACCUAAAACUCCAAGUGAUCGAGAUACGCCUACACCUGGUUCUCGACCGGUAGAUCGUAGCGAUCUCUCACCACCUAAAACUCCUGGUGAUCGAGAUAUGCCUACACCUGGUUCUCGACCAGUAGAUCGUAGUGAUCUCUCACCACCUAAAAAUUCAUCUCCAGGUGAUCGAGAUACGCCUACACCUGGUUAUCGACCGGUAGAUCGUAGCGAUCUCUCACCACCUAAAACUCCAGGUGAUCGAGAUAUGCCUACACUUGGUUCUCGACCGGUAGAUUGUAGCGAUCUCUCACCACCUGAAAAUUUGUCUCCAGGUGAUCGAGAUACGCCUACACCUGGUCCUCGACCAGUAGAUUGUAGCGAUCUCUCACCACCUAAAAAUUCGUCUUCGGGUGAACGAGAUAUGCCUACACCUGGUUCUCGACCAGUAGAUCGUAGCAAUCUCUCACCACCUAAAACUUCGUCUUCGGGUGACCGAGAUACGCUUACACCUGGUUCUCGACCAGUAGAUCGUAGCGAUCUCUCACCACCUAAAAUCUCGUCUUAAGGUGAUCGAGAUAUGCAUACACCUGGUUCUCGACCAGUAGAUCGUAGCGAUUUCUCACCACCUGAAAAUUCGUCUUUAGGUGAUCGAGAUACGCCUUCGCCUGGUCCUUGGCCAGUAGAUCGUAGCGAUCUCUCACCACCUAAAAAUUCAUAUUCAGGUGAUCAAGAUACGCCUACUCCUGGUCCUCGACUAAUCGGUUAGCAAGCUCUCGACAUCUAACGGGACAAUCAGCAUUGUCGUGAUAACGACAACCAAGACUGACUAGAUCGCCGUUGUCACUAGGACGACAAUGUCGAGGACUAAUGACAUCAGGACGACAACGGACACGGUUAACUACAUCACACGACGACGACGAAACUCGAGAUCCCCAGACUUCUAGAGGGUCCGAGGAUGAGGUAGUAGGUACAGGAGCCGAACCUCCGACUACGAUAAUUCCUCAUUGUCUUCGUCUUCAUCAGGAGGUUGUUCUCGCAAGUCACGGGAAUGUCGUCCAUACAUUACUCUGAUUCCCUUCAAAUGGUCGAGGUACGACUACGACUAGUCUUUAAUCGGCAACGUAGCGGUCCUCGAACCACGACUUCUGAUGGUCGAGGUACGACUACGACUAGUCUUUGACCGGCAAUGUAGAGGUCCUCGCACCACGACUUCUGGUGGUCAAGGUACGAUUACGACUAGUCUUUGACCAGCAACGUUGCGGUCCUCCCACCAUGACUUCUUAUGGUCGAGGUACGACUACGACUAGUCUUCGAUCGGCAACGUAGCGGUCCUCGCACCACGACUUCUGAUGGUCGAUGUACGACUACGACUGGUCUUCGAUCGGCAGCGUAGCGGUCCUCGUACCACGACUUCCAAAGGUCGAGUUACGACUAUAACUGGUCCUCGACCAGUAGCGUAGUAGUCCUCGCACCUCAAUUUCAAACGGUUGAGAGACUCCUACUCCUGGUUCUUGAACCAGUAGGUCGUAGUGGUCGAGAUAUGACUACAACUGGUUUUCUGCCAACGAUGUAGCGAUUCUCCCACUACCUAUGCGAUUUAUUGGGUACAACUAUACGCCUGGGCUUUGCCUAGUGUGGUGGUUAUCUCAUCAUCUACGUCAUCUUCUGUAAGUGUUUAUAUGUGCAAUAUUUGUCCAGAGAUCCCUAACCACGAUAACACCUACUCUUGACAUCGAAAUUAUUGUCCCUUUACGCCAGUCUGACAAGCCUCCGAGAAACCUAAGGGAAUUUCGGCUGGGGACACCCAGAGCAGAUAAGCUCUUGUCAGAUCCUAAAGAGCCAAACGACCAUGUAAAACCUGGUCAUGUAAGAGUGCUCCAUAAUGCGUAUUAACCAAGCCGUGUAAUUGGAAAUUGGUUUUUCCAACUUCACGGCUGGGGGCUAGGUAAUUGCAUUUUCAGCUAGGCAAGUUACGUGUCAUUGGGCCUUCCCCUCCGAGAACAGACUUCCCCGAGGAUAGGGCUAGGGGCUAGGAGGAGUACCAAACUCCGUUUGCUGAGGGCAACUCUAGCCAGCAUACUCUUUUAUUGUUACACGUAGAUUCAAUUGAUUUUCAAUUUUUCCAUACAUAUUAGAACAUGUUACCCUUGAGCGUUCGCUUGAGGGCUAUCUCUAUUUAAUAUUUUGUUUUGAGAAUUGAUUUCAAGAUAAUUCCAUUCAACGCUGUUGAGGACUCCAUGUCUCUACGGUCUUACAGCGGGAUCGAUUAAGCGAGUACGACGAAUGUUGAUUAGGGAAGUCAGACAUCAGAAUAGUCAAGUCAGAUUUCAAGGCUUUGUCGCAGACUUUGCACCUUCUCGAUUAUCCGAGAACGACUACUGGAGUUCGACAAGGAAUAUGGAAUGAAGCAAAGGUGUACUCGCCGAGAUGGAAUUUCUUGACUUCAAUCCAAAUUCUCGAUUACAGCACGACGGGAGACUUAGUCGCAUGUUCCGUAUCUUCUCGGACGACAUCAGAGAUUAACCUAGACAAAACCAAUAUAGUGCCUACAAAGGCCAAUAAGAGGAAUCUAGCACUAUCUCUGAUCUCACCGAGAACGGUCAAGCGAGCAUGACAACAGUUAUUCCAAAGUCUUCGGUUGAGAACAUGAACUCGUUCAUUUGCAUUGAAGUCGGGGCUACUGUCAGGGUUAUGGAUACCACAUACCCAAUAGUAAUCGACUAAGCUCGGCAAGGCCCACCACAUACCAUGUCUUAUACGGAAACAAACCUCGUAUAUAGAAGGAGUUCGGGAUAAGGAAGGACAAGAAGAGUUCUACAUGAAAACGACAAGGACUACUCAGAUCAUAUCCAUAUUUAUCUCCCUAUACUUACUUGGACAAGGGGUUAUCUAUGGGUAUAAAUACAAACCCCCUAGGAGGAGAGGGGAUAGGCCACAAAGCCACAAAGCCACAAAGCCACAAGCCAACACACGUCGCCGGAUAUCGACAUCAAAGAUUAGCCUAGCCAUACCCCAUCCGGUGCCUACGGAAGCUGGCAAGAGGGAUCUAGCGCCAUCUCUGAUCCCGCCGAGUACAAAUUCGAGGAGAUAGACUACCCUAUCGUCGACUACGACUUGGUUAUCUAUCCGUCAAGUCGACGACAGCCAGAUAUGUUAUCCCAAAUAUUGUAUUUGUGUGAUCCAGAUGAAUAAAGAGCAACAUCGGCUUCGGCCAACAGGAUGUAGGGCUAUUACCUGUAAGAUAAGAGGCUCGAACCUGUAUAAAAAUCCCUGUCUCCAUCUCUUUUACCUCAAUCUCGCAUAUAGCCUGGUACCAACAAUCCCCAUACCAUCUAAAUACGUAGUCGCGAUAUCAAACGUCGACACCAGUGUAGGUCAACCUUAUUAUUGCAAGCAAAUCGAGAAACAAGUAAGAACAAGAUCAAAGUAAUCCGAUAUUGCAAAUAGGAAUUGAAUACACAAGAUAAGUUGGGUUCCAAAGACAUGCAGACAGACAGUUUAGUACGCGCGCUACAAGCAAGUAGCAAUGGCUAAACUUCAAUCUAAACAAAACCCAAGAAAACCUUAACGGGUACCUAGUUAUUCAAGAAGGUGGAAGGACGACCUUGGUGUCCCUAGGGUUGUGCUCCACCUGGUUGGGGUGCACCCCACAUGGGCCCUACUUGGGCCGGGGUCCCAGACAAAGUUACAAACCCAUAGGCCUAUUAUAGGUGAUGCGUCACCUUGUUCCUAUGAUUCCGGCCAAACGAGACGGAAUUCAAAGAUGAGGCUGAAUCCGUUGGAAAGCGGACUCCGAAAGCUUUCCACUAAGUACUAAUGGACCCAAAACGAAGGUCGUAUGCACAUCUGGCAGUCGUUUGAAAUCAACAUUGUUGCAGGCAGUUGAAUUGGAUUCCAGAACUUGUUUAAUUUGUUCUUGAUGUGAGCAGCGGUUGUCUCAAUAGCAUCCAUGGUCACAUCUUAAGCACGAGGGGUGGAUGCCCUACAGCUAACCCUAAUCAUAUUUAUUCAAUAACUAUCAUUAUUUAGAGUGCGGUUUUGCUUAGAUUAUUCUGCUGUUGCAGUUUCGCCGCUUAGUUCGGUUUGUGGAACCCCAAUUUGUGAGCUUCAUUGUAUAUAUGCAAUAUAUUUAUAUUAUUUCUUCUUCUCUCUUGUUUUUGUUCUCGAUUCAUUUGUAGGAGAUAGCUUUAUCGGUGAGGUCGACCGCGCUUUGGCACAGUUGAUAACCAACGAAGGGGUGGGGUUGUGAUUGUGAGUGGUUCGGUCAUCUUGGUUCAGUCUCCACAAUGGACUUAUCAGUACAUAAUGGACGAUCGGGACUUCAGUCCUCAUCACAUUUCUUUUGCGAUUCUUUUAGUGAGCGAAAUUAAUUUUGACCAUUGUUGUAAAAGAGUUGCAGCAAAUGUUACGUAUGCAAAUUGACAGAAGAACUCAAAGUUAAUAGAUGACUUUGUUUUUUUUUAUCUGUAUUCUAUUUGUCUAUGGAUGGGCAUUCGGUCAGACUGAAAAUUUUGGUCCUGGUCUUCAGUCUUCCUCUCAGUUCAGUCAUUAAAAAGUGAGGACCGAAUUUUAAUUGAAAAAUAUCAGGAUCGGUAAAUUCGGUCUCGGUCCAAACCGAGAUUAAACAAAAAGUUAAACACUACAUCCGUUUUUUACUAUAUGACGCCAUUGACUUUUCAAAAUACAUUUAACCAUUCAUUAUAUUUAUUUUAUCAUCAAAUGUUGUUUUAAGCAUGACUUCAAAUUUUUUAUAUUUGCGCAAAAAAAAUUGAAUAAGACGAAUAGUUAAACGUUUAACAAAAAGUUAGCGGUGCCAUAUUAUAAAAAACGGAGGUAGUAUAUGCAAAGAAAUCAUAAAAAAAUUUUAACACAAAAAUCACACAAAAAGAAUUCGCAAGCACGUCUUAGUAAAGACUUUUAUUGGGUUUUAUGGCUAAAAGGAGUAGGAUGUGAAUAUUAGGUUUUAAUUCUAUUAAACUUAGUGGAUUGUUGGUUGCAUUUGAAUUUUUUUUAAUUAGAUCUUUUCGGUUAACCGAGAAGACUAACCGAAUUGACGAACAAAAUGCCCGACCAAAUUUAUCGAUCUUGUCUUUUCAGUUUCGGUGGUCUUGGUCUUUUCGAUUCGUUCAUUUUUCAAUCCACCCUUACAUUUGUCAACGUUGUCCCUUUAUUUAAAAGUAUAAUCCUUGUGCAUAUAUACUCCGUACAAACCACACAUUAUAUUACAAUAGUAUAUUACGUAUACUUAUCACACCGACACGCAUAUAUAUCAUCAGCAUAUCAGACCUUUAGCCCGCUGGCACUGCCCGGUCUACUGCAAUUUAAUCUCGCUCGAUAUUUCCAAAGGGAUCGCGUAGACUGGCUCAGCGUGGACGAGGUGGUACAUCGGCUUCUCUUGACAAACCGGCGGCUGUUCGAUCACGUUCACCUUGCCACGGCGCACCGCUACGCUGCCGCAGCCCGACACGGACGCGGCGCGGCAUCGAUCCACGCGGACGGCGCCGCACCGACUCACGUCCGCCGACCCGCACCGCUCGAUGCCGAUCGCGCCGCACCAGUCGGCGCGCGCGGCGCGACACCGGCCUACCGCGACGUCCGCGCACCCGCCCACGUUGGCCUCGUGGCACCGCCCGACGUGAAGUUCCCCCGCGCCGCGCACGCGCGCGGCGCCCUUGCACCGGCGGAUGGCCACCACGCCGGCGCGCUCCACGUCCGCGGACCUGCAUCGGCGCACGGCCACCUCCCGCGCCCCGUCCGCCCGCACGGCGUCGCACCGAUGGAACGACGCGACCCCGCAGGCCUCCGCGGCCGCGAAGCCGCACCGGGUGAAGCUCACGUCACCACUGCCCCCGCCGCGCACCAGGACGUGCUGGAGACGGUCGACCGCGAGGACACCCGUGCUGACCAAAGUGACCGUGCCGCCGUUCCACUGGAUCACACCCUCGUGGAGGGCUGUCUCCACGCCGUCGAUGAAGAUGGUGAACUGCUGGUCCUCCUUGACGGUCGUGGCGGCGGAGGGAGGAUUUCUCAAGUCUAGUGCCACCAUUUUUAUGCAGAUAUCUUCUGAUGAUUGCUUGUAUUAUUUGUGUUGAUGAUUCCUGGAUAGAUGGCCAAAGUCUUUUAAAGGACCGCGUUGCUUAAGAGCUAAGGUAUUAGCAAGAAGUUGAUGUGAAAUGAAGGACUUUCUUCAAUUCGUGAUUGUGAUGGCUUGUUUUCUCCGAGUAUUCAUGACAACAACAACUACUGCCCAUCCGUUUGUGAAUUAAAUACGGUUGAAUGCGACGUGGAGUAUAUGUUGCUACCCAUCCUAAAAAAGAGAGAGUGUAGUUUUGUACUGUUCAUGUUCAACGUUUGACCGUCCGUUUUAUUUGAAAAAUUUUUAUGAUUAGUAUUUUUAUUGUUGUUAGAUGAUAAAAUAUAAAUAGUAUUUUAUGUGUGACUAAUUAUUUUUAAUUUUUUUAUAAAAUUUUCAAAUAAGACAGACGAUCAAACAUUGGACGCGGAAACUUAGCAAUGCACUUAAAUUGAGACGGAGGUAGUACUUGGUUCCACAAGAGAAACACGAGAGGAUUUAGGCCUGGUUUAUUUUCUAACUUUUUCUUCAGACUUCCAACUUUUCUAUUACAUCAAAACUUUUCUACACACAUAACUUUCAACUUUUCCGUCACAUUGUUUCAAUUUCAAUUAAACUUCUAAUUUUAGCGUGAACUAAACACACCCUUAGAACUUUAGGAUUUGCUUCGCGAUUCGUUCUUCUCUAGCUCCAGUGACAUCUUCUUCUCCUGCUCCAAUGACCCCUACAAAGAGUUGGAGUUAGAGUUUAGAAUCCUGGGUUCGAGUUGGAGUUAGAGUUUAUAAUCCUAGGUUCAAUCACUGAAGUAUGGUUGAGUGAGAUGAUCGCAGGGAGAGGGGGAGAUCACCAGGCAAAGAGUAAUAGACAUAGGAGGUGCAUGUCACACCCUAAAAAUUGCUAAAUUAUAAAUUGUUGUGAGAAAGGAAAUUUUACAAAUUAUGUAAUAAUUAAAGUAAGUGUUUGAAUAAAAUCUAUGAAAUAUUUGAGCAUCAAAUUGGGCUAGAUAAAAUUCUUAUAAAUACUAUGAGUUUCCAAGUAUUUUCUGGAUUUUUCCCGGAAUAAAAAAUCAUUUCAGCAUUUACUUAUAAAUUAAAAAGUAAAGAAAAUCCUCUUCUCCUUCCUCUCUCUCCCGCCGGCCCAAUCCGAGCCUGCAGCCCUCUCCAUCUCUCGGCCAAAGUCCAAUUGGCCUCCCUCUUUCAUCCGGUCCAAGAAAGAAAGAAAA
RNAcentral lists this long non-coding RNA (66925 nucleotides) under Oryza sativa (Asian cultivated rice). Its description in RNAcentral is "long non-coding RNA (OSAT_LNC000578)". The stretch from base 65947 to 66154 matches the Rfam family "MIR812 microRNA precursor family". Lineage: Eukaryota; Viridiplantae; Streptophyta; Magnoliopsida; Poales; Poaceae. The record is from RNAcentral.